UAUACAUGCUUGCUAGACUUUGAGCCACACAUUUACUUUUUACUGCUUAUGAGCAUUGAGUGUGGUCAAGCUGUGUAGACCCUUAGGAGCUUGUCAUGCGGUUAAAAUCAAGAUUCACUUGCACGUUCACUCACACAUGCUGCUUCUACUCCGAAAGUACGCAUCCACAUAUAUCCACUCAUUUCCAUCUCUAGAGCCACCUAAAAGUAUUCUACUCCUAAUCCGGGAGAGAAUAGCCAAAAACAUUCACCUGAGACAUGGCAAGUGCGCGGAACCUCGAAGAAAAGAAAAAGUGAGACGAGAGGUAAAAAAAGAGAAAGAAAGAGAGAAAGAAUACGAGGAAAUAAAAAGGGGCAAGUGCGCGGAACCUCGAAGAAAAGAAAAAGUGAGACGAGAGGUAAAAAUGGACAAGUGUCCGACAGUAGAAUUAGGGGUACAAGAUACCCACCUGAGAGGAAAGAAAAAUAAAAUGUAGAGCAUCUCAUUCUCCUCAAAAAGUUUCAAAAGGGCAAGAAAGGUAUGUAUCCAUUUAAAAGAGGAAAAUUAGAAUUAGACUUUCACCAUUGUUAUCACCAUCAUCACCAUACACUAUUCACUCGCCACACAUGCACAUCUUGAUUUGACUUAUUGAGUUGUUCUUCUGGAUCCAUGGUUUGACUAUGCAAUAAAUGUCUUGUAAGUAUGUAUUAUCUGUCUCCCACCUAUGAGCUCUAGAAAUCAAAACCUUAUUAGAGUAGGGUGAGAGAGAAGGCAAUAUCACUAUGCAUCAUACCAAAAAUACCACAUACUUUGAGAAAAGGCAUAUACCAUUACUGCCUUGGAAAGGAUCCAGAAAUACCACAAAAGAGAGAUUUGAGAGAGUCAUACAAGGAAUCUCUGAGUUUUAUUUGAAAAUCUGCAGAAACUCCAGAGCUAUAGUUAAUCAAAGAACAAGAGACAUGGCGCUUGACUUGACCGUUUUAUGUUUUAACUGCUCAAGACACAAGUGACGGUUGCAAGCCCGAUGGUGAAAGGUAAAAUGAGUAAGUUUUAAGUCUUAACAGUUUACUCUAACUCAGAGAUGAGAUCUUGCUUGAACGCAUGUGUGCUUCUAAGGCAUGAAACCACUGCAGAAACUCUUGAGUCCAUCCUUGCUCAGGGACGAGCAAGAGGUAGCUUGGGCGAGUUGUUGACGGUCCUUAACUACCAAAUAUAAUCAUCAAAUAUAUAAAGAAAAGGAUCCAAAUGGAACCAACACCUAGACUUAGGGUUUUAUCUGACAGAAUUCCACCAGUUUUGGUGUUUGUCUAUUUCUGCAGGGGGUUAUGAGGAAAUAUGGAGGAAAGGCCCACAUGUCGGGUUUAUAUAGAGAUAUUAACGUGCCGCGUAAUUUUCUAUCAUCUAGAAAAGUCCAGAAGGCACGGGAACGAACGGGAGGCCGAACGGGCCCGGGGGCAGGCGCCCACCCUCCCCCUUGGGCACCCGCCCUAGUACAAGCACCAAUCACAGAAUGGAGUACACCAUUACAAAGAUCUCAUCGAGUUGAUCAAAAUGCAUAUAUUAUUUUCUAUAUUUGGAGUUCGGAAUCAAGAGAUAUUAAUAAAAGAAUGACUCCACAUAAAAGAGCUACGGGAUUAAUUGGGCCCAAAUGAGAUUUUGGUCCAUUAAGGCCUAUGUGCAUUUUAAUGAGAUAUGGUGGAAAGUUUAGUACUACAUCGCCUGCUGAACCAAAAAGGCAUAAAAGGAGGAGGCUAUAUAAGCAAGGUCCCUGGCCCCUGGUGGAGAACACAUCAUUAUAGAGUUGAGAGGUGCCCUCGAAUGAUAACCUUUCCUCUAUAUAGAAUUAGGGCUUAGCAUCCAAUGUGAGAUUUGAAUUAGUUCUUCUAUGUUCUUCUAGAUUAAGAGAGAUAGAGUGGAGGUGUAAAUCGGAGGAAGUUUGGAUUGUCGGUGUCUACUCCGAGGUUGUACCUGUGGGAUCAAGUCUCCUAACCCGAGGCUUGCUCCUAGGAUUCCUCAAUAUUUCAACUUCUAAAUUCUAGUAAGUUCUUGUUCAUAUUGUUCAUUGGUUUAUGAGUUUACUUUAAUCUCUUUCGGUAGAGUUUAGAGUAAUCAUUGCUAGCGUAAACGUGGUGUUUGGGCUAGGGUACUCAUAGAUAUCCCCUGUCUAGCUGGACCGUGGUAGUAGCAAGGAAUGUGACAUUUCCGAGUUACCUUUGUAGCCCACAUCCCGUUAGAAGGAUCGAUAGGGUUUAUAGGUGCGGGUCGAACAUCCUUUGUGGUGUCUAGAUUCCGUGAGCCUCCCCAAUAGAAUAGUAGAUCAUCCUUACCAAGGUUAGAACGAGAGUGCGGUUGUAGUCUUCUCUAUACAUCCCUCACAUCGAAUCACAUUGUUUGUAGCCUAAAGGGUAGUAGCAAUAGAUUUGGUUAGUCAGAUGCAUGCUUUCUCCUAGUGGUAAAAAUAUAAAUACGAUACUCUGGAUAACCUCCCGGAUGAAAUGCUCACCGAUAUCCGUGCGCUUGCGGAUCAUUUCCUGAUGGCAUUGUUGGGCAUUCUUAACGUCACUACCAAAAGUAGACUUAGUUCUCUAAUUCUGAUAACGGCGCCAAAAAUGCCAAAGCUAAGUUGUCAUCCCCAGCAUGUCAUGAAAGACGCGGUAUUGAAAUAUGCAAUUGCUCUUCUAAAUAAAUAACAAAUAAGAUCUACAAGCGCACAAAUUAAUACCGAUGUAGCAUUUUAACCGAGAAGUAUUUUAGGUAUCGUUAUUUAUAUUUUUACCACUGGGAAGGGAUUGCUAAACAUCAAUGUUGAUUAUAGAAUGGAAUAUAGAAUUGAGUAUCUAUCAUUGCAUGUAUAAUUGAGAGCAUUUAUCUAUCUCUUUCAUACAGGGAUAAGUGUCACAUAAAGGAUAUAUAUAAAGUAAUGAAUGGUGACAAAGAUAAUUAAUCGGAUCACCAUAACUUAGCCACAUAUAAAUAUGAUAAGCACCUCAAUUAGAUAUUCUAGCAAGUCAUUAGCAUGGAAUUAGGACGAACUACAAGAAUAUUUCCUAAGUUAUUCUCAAAUAUACAGUCUAGCAUAUCAUAGUUAGUGCAAUUAUACUUAGCAAUCAUUGCGAGACAGGACUACGCCCAUGCAUAGUGAUAUUAUCAAGGAAUAUGAGAAACAUCGCAAAAACUCCCCUGUAAUAAUGUUGCUCUGCCAGCCCUAUACACGAGAGGGGGACUAUAUAAAAAUCAAUGGAGCUGUCACUACCACGAUGAAUAAUGAAUUAGGGUUGAGAGGUGCUCUCCUCCAAGGGCCAGGGGGUCUGGUUAUAUAGUCCUUCCAAGCGAAUAUGGACCGUCAGAUCAAACCGACAUUAAUCGCACGGUUUUCCUUGAUCCUUUAGGUCGGUGGAGCAUGAUCCGCAAAGUUGAAGCUGAUUGGUGGAGAGGCCAGUGCGGGUGCCCAAGGGGGUAGGGCGGGUGCCCUGCCCCCGAGGCCAUCCGGUCUCCCGUUCGUUCAUGUGGCUUCUGGACUCUUCUAGAUGUAAGAUAAUUGCGCGGCACGUUAAUAUCUCUAUGUAAACCCGACGUGUGGGCCUUUCUUCCGUAUUUUUCUGAUAACCCUCUGCAGAAAUAGACAAACACCAAAACUCGUGGAAUUCUGUCAAAUAAAAUGCUAAGUCUGAAUGUCGGUUACAUUUGGAUCCUUUUCUUUGUUUAUUUGAUAAUUAAAUUUGAUACUUAAGGACCGUCAACAAACUCCCCCAAGCUUACCUCUCGUCUCACCUUUUUUUUCUUCGAGGUUCCGGGCACUUGCCCCUUUUUAUUUCCUCAUAUAUAUUUUUUUAGAGCACUGAUCUCCUGAAAUAAUAUAGCAAGUGAUAGUAACCAAGAUAACUUGAGCAUUUAUUUCACAGGGGAAACAGGAAUGUUUUUGGCCAUUCUCUACCGGAUUAGGAGUAGAAUGUUUUUGGGUGGUUUCUGAAGAUGAAAAUGGGUGGAUAUAUGUGGAUGCGUACUUCUGGAGUAGAAGCAGCAUGUAUGAGUGAACGUGCAAGUGAAUCUUGAUUUUAACCACAUGACAAGCUCCUAAGGGUCUACACAACUUGACCACACUCGAUGCUCAUAAGCAGUAAAAAAGUAAAUGUGUGGCUCAAAGUCUAGCAAGCAUGUAUGUAUGGCUGUGGUAGGAAUUUAAACUCUCAUCAUACAGGAACUCAUCAUGUAAUAUUUUAAAGAUUUUAAAAAAUAAAAUUCUUCGGAAUUCUAGCAUCUCUAGGAAUAGAUAAACAGCAGCUCAACCUUCCCAUAUCAUAUCCGUUAACAACUUAGACAUCAAAUCAAGUUCUCUUCCCACAUGUUCAGGUUUAGAGCAAACUUUAAAUUAUAACAGUUAUGUCUAAACUAGAGAGAACUUCAAAUUUGAAAAUUAGGCAGAGCAACUAUUCAUCAUAUCCAUGCUAGAGUUUUAUUAUUAAGAUUCAGUUUAGCAUAGCCACUUUAUUUAUUUAUUAAGCAAACUAAGCAAAGGAUAUAUAUAAGCACAAAAAUCUUGAUUUGGUUUUUCAUAAUUAUGUAUAUUUAUAUUUUAAUAUAGUAUAAGUAUAUAGAUAGAUAGAAAUACUUAUCGAGAUAAAUGGGGGUGCUCUCCCACAAGCUGAAUUUUGACGUAAUUUCUUUUGAUGUAGCUAGCAUGUGGCAGAGGUGUAUUUGAAAGUCGGUAGCACCCUGACAGCAAUUAGAAUGUCCUCCGUCUGCUAGUCUUCUUGAUCCUUGAAUUCUAUGGAGCUCAAAUAGACAAUAAAGCUUUGUGGAACUGAUUAGGUGUUAGCAUAAAUAUCUAGCCUUUAUCAUGUUGAGCCUCCUCAAUAAGUGUUACUCUCUAUUUUAUAUUUAGAUUUUAUAAAGCGGAAAAAUAUUUAUUUUAUUUUUAUGCCACCACAGUGAAUGUACUUAUGGGUUUUAUGCCACUUGUAUACUCACAUGGGGCUUACUGUUUUUUUAACAUUUUUAUUUUCUUUUUUUGGAUAGUACGGACAUAGUUACUAAGCAAACGAUUUGAAAUAAUUGAAAGGAAAAGGAUAACUACCAAGUUUACCUCUUGGCAAGGCGUUCAGUGUUUUUAUGUCCUCCGAACGGGACUCUCCGUUUUCUCAGUUGUCUUGGAAUUCGUUGGAUGAUGGAGUCGGUACUUCCGGCGGCGUCUCUUCUUCAUGUAUAGUUAUCUUCUCUCUCCACACCUGACUCGGUGCUAUGGUCUCCUCUAGAUAAUUUUGUUCAAGCUGUAUGUCUUCAGACCUUACCACUUCUCCUUCAAAGUCUGCCCAUCCGUCCUUGAUGAUUUGCCUCCUCUUGUUGCGUCGUCUUCUUCUUGUCCUGACCUGCUUAGAGUCUUCAACGAUAUAAUUAGGGUCAGUAAAAUAGCGGCGUACCUUCUCUGAGGGAAAGUGCAUGUGAACUUCUCCGGUUCCAAUGUAGAUGAUUGCUUUAACAGUGCUGAUGAAAGGUCUCCCAAGGAUGAUGGGUGGAUCGUACUCGUCUUCUCCCAUGUCAAUAACCUGAAAGUCUAUAUGGACAAAAUGAUCGUCUAUUUUGACAGGGGCAUCAGUUACUAUACCUUCAACCUUUCAGAAUGUUUGAUCUGCCAUCUGGAGUUGAAUGUAUGUUGGUUUUAAGGGCAUGGUUCCGAACAAGAGCCAAUCGGUGACUGCAGCCAUUCUGUUGACGCCCAAUCCGGUGUCGCAAAUUGUCUUGUAGAAGUUGUACCCAUGGAUGGGGCAAUGAAUGCUUGGCAUACCUGGGUCGUCCUUCUUGGUCAGAAAUGGUGACUUAAGUCGAUGAUCUUGACCUCCAUGAACUGCAGUGACCAUCUUAGCUGACUCGGUCCACACUUGCUUGUUCCUGUUCCUCCUGUUGGUCCUCUUCCUUGGUUCAUGUCGGGAUUGCUCUGGGAUUUGUGUAGUCUUGUUCUUGAAGGAAAACAUCUCCUUUCUCCCUUUGAUGUAGAAACUGAUCUUGGCAGCACUGGCGUAGAUGACAGCUCUCGAGGUGUUCAAGAAUGGCCUCCCUAAGAUGACGGGUGCCCUCUCAUCAUUAGCGGUCUCUAUCACCACGAAGUCUGCUGGGGCGUACAAAGUACCAACUCGGAUGCAAAGGUUCUUCAAUAUUCCCUUUGGGAAACUUAACGUCUGAUCUGCAAACUGCAAACACAUGGUUGUCUCUAAUAAAGGAUAUGUAAAGAAUUUUUCAUAGAGUACCAUGGGCAUAUUGUUGACACUAGAGCCAAAGUCGCAAAGUGCUUCUGGGAAGUCCACCAUGCCAAUGGAGAUCGGGAUGACGGGGCGUCCUGGAUCGCCUCUCUUGACCGGCAGAAGGUCAGUAGUAACUUUAGUGACGGGGUUACUCCAGUAGUUACCUGCUUCAAACAUGUCUACAAGUUUUGCAGAUUCUAAUCCUUCCGGUUGUGAUGGUAUACCAGGGUUAGUAGCAGGAACAGCAGCAGCUAUUUGAUUUAACUGAGAUUCAAUCAUUUUAUUAAAGCUAAUUUGAUUCUUGAUGGCAGUAGAAAAAUUAUCAAUUCUAUUAUUUAUAUUUUCUAACAUUUUAUCAUUAGAUGCCAAUUUCUUAGAUAGGUUAUCCAUUAGCUUUCCUUGAUUAGAUGCUAACUCUCAGAGGUGGAAAAUUAUUAUUAUUAGUGUAAGAAUUGUUACCUUGAUAAUUACUUGAGUAGUUAGGCCUCUCUUGAUUCCAACCUUGAUUUUUUGUUGAGGGCUGUUGUAGUAGUAGUUGUUGUAAUUGUUGAUGUAGUUCACAUCCUCAAGCAUCUCAGGGCAGUGAUUGCCUGAGUGUCCAGUAUCUCCACACUCCUCACAAGUCAUGUGAGAGUCGUAGAUGUGCAUGACUUCUUUCUUAUCUCCAGCUCUAUCAUCGAGCAUCUUCAUGAGCAGGUCUAGCUUUGCAGAAAGCAUGUCUACCUUCUUGAGCUGGUGCAUGUUGGGUAUUUUUAACAUCAUUACCAAAAGUAGACAAUUUUCUAAAUCUGAUAACGGUGCCAAAAAUGCCAAACCUAUCCCUCUGUUGAUGCAAAACAGAUCUGCAAACACAAAGGGCUAAUACCCGAUUCAAACGUUAAGGCGUGCCAGCCGAUUUGACCUUACUAUCGGCAAAGGUGAUAACUCGAAUACUUUAGUCCUGACAACAGCGAUGCGACCGGAUGUCACGGCUAAGAGGUACUCACGCGGAACUUGAGAACACGCCGAGCUUAAGUCGACGAAUUCCUAAGAACUCGUAAUAAAAGGGAAAAAGUAUGACGAAGUCGUCGAAAAGUAGAUGCUGAAAUAUGAGUAAAAACGUGUGUUUGAUUGAUUGAUAGAUAUCUCAUUACAAGGCCCUAGGGUCUAUAUUUAUACCCUACUCAAAGAGCUACAACCAGAAACGAUUAGAUUUCGAAUUCCAAACUACACGGAAUCCGUAUACAAAACGAUGUAAAUAAUUAAGGAAAUAACAAAACUAUCCCCCGUGACAAACUGAAACUCCCUCACACAACGACCGGCAGCUCCCGGACUCCCUCUUUGCAUCAUCGGCAGACCCUUUGCCAUAGUCAUCGGCAGACUUUCUUAUCCAGCCAUCGGCACAGUCAUAUCACUGCCUGUAGACUUAGUCACGUUCAACUUCUCCUUCAUCGGCAACCAUCCUUAUCGGCAACUCACCUUGUAAACAUCGUACUGCCACCUCAUCCUGCCAUCCUAGACACGUGCCCAAAAACGGUGUCAACACAUGCCCCCCAGUUUCGGAGUAUAAAACUAUUAAUGCUCCAAAAUUCUCUGCAGUAAUGAUGCCUUCUCCCGCAAUUAAUGCUCCUAAUCUGGUAACCGACAACCUCAAUCUGAACAACUCUGAUCCUAUUCCUCCGCAGAUUCCUCGAAAUCCCCAACUUCCUAAACGGGCAUUUCUUCUCAACCGUACAUUGGCAAUAAUACCGUUACAAAGAUCUGCCGAUGUUCUGACCAGGAUAUUCGCAUAAACAGUUACUUCCCCUCUAUCCGCCCAUCGGCAAUAUGACCGUUAUAGAACGCUGCCGAUGGACCGACUAGGAGAUCUUGCACAGUAAAAUAUCUCCAGAUAAUGAUCGUUUCCCAUCAAAUCACCUGCACAAUCCCUGGAUUAUCGUGCGAACAGUUACCAUAUCCACCUGAGUACCCUCGGAUUUCUCGGAUGCGGCAAAGAGAUAAGUCAGAUUUGCCCUUGCCCAUUUUGUCCUAUAAAUAGUCCCUUCUCGGGUACUCCUUCCCCAUCACAUCUUUCUACUACCCAACUUUACUUUUCCAGCGGCGGCGCCAUCCAAAACUCCCAAAAUCUUCGACAAGUACUCCUCUUCAUCAACUCCGGCGCCCCCAAACGCUUUCUUCGCAGCAAGAUGGCCGUCGGCUUCGUCGUCCCUGAGGUCAAAUCUCCACCCCGUCUCCUGUAUUUUUCCUUCAUAUCCCUGUUCAUUCGCAAUUCAUUUUACUGAAUAUCUCCCUUUUCUUUCCUCUUUGUAUUUCUUUUUAUUCCCAAAAAUCACUAGGAAUUGUCCAAUAAAAUUGUCAUCCCCACUGAUCAACCACACCUCCAAUGUCUCGGUCCUCUAGGAGAUCCAGAUCCAACCGAACUCAUUAACGCAGAAACCAACAGGAUCCCCUUCAGAACUGAAAAUUUUUUGUUAGAUUUGUGGAAAGAUACCUUCCUCUCUUGGCCUAGCCCUACCGUAGGGUGGAAAGACUGGUUCUUGAGAGUCAGCAAUUCUUAUGAAGUUCAGUGGGGCGAAAGGAAACUAGCCCAAUGCAUUAGGUUGUCUAUCGCCGAUAUGCAUAGGAAUGAGUCACUGCUGAUAGCUGCAUCCUACUUUUGGUCAGACACCCUUAAUGCUUUUGCCUUUGGCCACGGCCCUGCUUCUCCUACCCUUGCCGAUGUAGCCAUGCUUACUGGUCUAGACAUAUCUUCUGUCGAUAGCACCCAUUUUUUUGAUACUGCCCCUAGUGCCAAGGUGGAGACUCGCGCUAUAGGCGGUUGGUCAGGGUACAUCCAGAAGUACCGUGGGAAAGGAUCUGUUACCAUAAAGGAACAAACCACCUUUCUGAACAUGUGGCUGGACAAGUUUGUAUUCAGGGGUCGAUCGGCAGGGCCGACUUCCGUCUAUCUAUCGGCAGCAGAAAGACUGGCUAACGGAGGCCAAUUUCCUCUCGGCCGAUACUUGCUUGGCGCUGUUUACCAUCUUCUCCAUCAGGUAGCCCAGAAACUCCUGCUUGGCCAGUCCAUCGGCAACUUGGGAGGCCCCUGGUGGUUUAUUAAUAUGUGGCUCAAUCUGCACCUGCAUAAGCGCCUUGAUUUCAACUUGUUCACACAGCACUACCCAAGAGAUAUAGCCGAAAACCAUGUGUUGGGUGAAGAGGAAUCGGCAACGCGUGCCCCCUUGAACUUUGGUGAAGCUGUCAUCGUUCUACCUGGUUCAGGGGGUAAUCCGGAUCAGAUCGGCCGAUUCUUCCAGACUCUGUAUGAGGGUUUGGCCAGAGACGAACGACCAUGAUUAGCUUAUGCUGACCCAGAUAGCAUGCUCCCUCUGACCUUCAAUCCAUUUGAUGAAGCUCUCGACAGAGACAAUGAGGCGAUGAUGGCAAUUGUGACUCCCAGAAUCAUUCCAGUGAAUUUCUUUGGUAGCACAAAAACCUCUCCUCAGACUUAUGAAUUUUAUAACCCAUCGGCAUUAGCUCGCCAGUUAGCUUUCGGCCAGUUGCCGUUUGCACUUCCUUAUGCCGAUGUGAUAAAACCCAGAGAAACCAUCAACAACCUUCUUGAGUGGAUUCGAGUGGCCCAACUACCACCAAACGCCGAUACAGAUGUAGAUCUGUCGGAAUGGGUUCCGGCUGCUUUUAUCACUCAGGCAUACAAGUUAUGGUGGGCAGAGUGGAAAGAGCAUCUAUUCUGCAGAUCGGCCCUUUCAUACCGUGGCAUGAUCGACUCCGAAUACGAAGUUCCCGAUGACACUGUAAGUAUCUUAUACCGAUGCUCUAUUUUUUCAAUAUUACUUCCAUCGGUAGCUUACCCUUAUGUUCCUUUUGCAGGUUGACAACAUCCCUCCAUCGGUUAGCAGGAGUGGCAAGCCGAUUGACUUGUUUCCAUCAGGCCCGAUUUCCUCCAUCGGCCACAAUGCUCCCACCCUGGCUUCCAUCGUGCAUCGGGGUGUGCGUCUCAGGAAAGUCACCACCAGGAGAACCCAGACAUCACCAACGGUAGCUGCUCCCACUCUGGCGCGGGCUUUCAAGGCAAUUUGUUAAAUCUUUUCCUUUAUGCUGACUAUCUUUAUAUCGGCUAUAUUUAUGCUUAUAAACUCUUGUUCGUUAUUGCAGCAAACCGGCGUAUCGGCGAAAGCCAGGCGUGAAAGUGCAAAUGCCCCCCAGUCUAGCCAACCAAAGAGAAAGGGCACCACAGGUGCUAAGACUGGAACAAAGCGCCAAAAGGUAGCAACUCCCCCUCCUCCUCCGGUGUCUCCAAUUCCGGUGGAGUCUUCUCCAUCUUCUCCAGAAGCCCAGCCACAACAAGCACCAUCUCCCCCACCUAUGCAGGAAGCACCACAGAUAGAAGAACCCCAGCAGGAAGGACCUCAAACAGAAGAUACAUCAGCUGAUAUGGGUGAACAAACAACUGGCCCGGUGGGUCCAGUUAUACCAUCGGCAGUUCUCCCGAUUCAGACAACCGUUGUUCCUCCUCCAGGUAACAUACUUUAACAAUAUCGCUACCGAUGAACUUAUUCUCAUUUAGUCUCAUAACUCCUCUUGUCUUCUUUCAGUUGAUAUCGUUCCAUCGGCAACUUCAACCGAUCAACCUAUAGUUCCAUCGGCAUCUUUGGCCGAUCAGCCUGCAGCUCCAUCAGCACUUCUCAGUCAAAGACAAGAGAUCGCCUUGAAGCAAGUAAGUCACCAUUUACCGUUAGCAUUAUUUGCCGAUUCUCUGAAUAUGAGCUAACUUUGCUUUCCCUCCCAGGAACAAGAUUCUCCCCAUAGCCUGUUCUCCUUCGCCAUCGAUCUCUCUGAAGAAGAAGGUGAAGAAGCAAGCUCCUCUCAGACGGUCAGCAUUACAUCGGCAGAGAUCAGGGUCAGGCUGGAAGAAUUGUCAGCUCUCCUUCACCAGGACACAGCGCAAUUGGUUGAUGACUCCGACCCUACCAAGACCCUGUUCAGAGCUCUCAGAGGCCAAAUCCCAACCGAUGUCGAAGAAAUCCUGUUCCAAGCCGCUCAUCUGGAGAGUCGCCAGCUGCAGUACCAAAGAGCUUCUCGGCGUCUUGCCGAUAGAGCCGCUCAGACUCAACUCUCUGAUGAAAUGAGGAAAGAGAAGCUCUUGACCGAUGAGAAGCACAAGAACAUCGGUAUCCUGAGAUCUUCUGGAGACGCGCUGAAGCAGAAGAUAUCCGAUCUAUCGGCAAGAAGAGAAUCCCUGUUGGCGGAGCUCAAGGAAGUGGAGAACGCCCUAUCCCAAGCCCAACAGGAAGAGAGCCAAUUGCCAGAGACCAUCAGGCUUCUUGAGCACGAGCAAAACGCUCAUGGUCGCAAGGCACUUCAACUGAAGAAGAAGCUGAAGCCAAUAGAAGGUUCUGCCGAUGAUGACAUCAAGGAGAUAGAAGCAGCCAACCAAAUUCGGCUACGCGCUAUAUCGGCAAUCCAGGCGCUGCUUAAUACAUAGAGUGUCCAUCGGCAUUUUAUCUGUGCUUUCCUGCUUCCUCAGCUUUUAGUCCAGCCGAUAGGACUGUUAUCGGCACCUAAACUUUUGAAACACCAGGUCUUGUCCCCAAACAUUUGGAUUCAGCCGAUAGGAGUGUUAUCGGCACCUAAACUUCUAUGCAUCGACCCAUAUACUGGGGUAGUACUUCUUUAAAUAUUUGCCGUUUAAUGCUCUGGGAAAUUCAACUCCUUCGAGGGUUUCUAGAAUGUAGGCAUUACCGGGAGCCGAUCGACUUAUCCGAUAAGGACCCUCCCAAUUAGGAGACCAUUUUCCAAACUUCGAACUUUUAGUCCCGAUUGGUAAAAUUAAUUUCCAUACCAAAUCCCCAUCGGCAAACUCUUUAGCCUUCACUUUCUUAUCAUACCAUCUAGCAACUCUCUUCUUAUUUUCUUCUAUACUCAUUAAAGCUUUUAACUGAUGCCCUGCUAGAUCAUCCAAUUCAUCGGUCAUCAAAGUGGCAUAAUCGUCGGCAGUUAAUUGAUCUUGAAAAGAUAAUCGCCUAGAUCCAGCCUUAAUUUCCCAAGGCAACACCGCAUCAUGUCCAUACACCAAUUGAUAGGGUGACACCUUGGUUGAUCCAUGACAAGCCAUCCGAUAAGACCACAAUGCUUCAUUUAACAAUGUAUGCCACCGCUUAGGAUUUUCUUCAAUCUUUCGUUUAAUAAGCUUGAUAAUUCCUUUGUUAGACGCUUCGGCCUGCCCAUUGGCUUGAGCAUAAUAAGGAGAAGAAUUCAACACUUUAAUCCCCAUACCGAUUGCGAAUUCAUCGAACUCCCCCGAUGUGAACAUCGUGCCCUGAUCGGUAGUAAUCGUUUGGGGAAUCCCAAAUCGGUAAAUAAUAUGCUCCUUCACAAAAUCAAUCAUAUUGGCCGAUGUGACUUUCUUCAAAGGAAUAGCUUCAACCCACUUAGUGAAAUAAUCAGUGGCAACUAGAAUGAACUUGUGCCCUUUGCUAGAUGGUGGAUAAAUCUGGCCGAUCAGAUCGAUGGCCCAUCCCCGGAACGGCCAAGGCUUUAUUAUAGGAUUCAUAGCCGAUGCGGGUGCUCUCUGGAUAUUACCAAAUUUUUGACAACCUUGACAUCCCUUGAAAUAUUUAAAACAAUCCUCAAGUAUGGUCGGCCAAAAAUAUCCAUUCCUUCGAAUCAUCCACUUCAUCUUAAAAGCUGACUGAUGCGCUCCACACACUCCUUCAUGGAUUUCCCCCAUCAAACUCCUAGCUUCAUCUUCACCCAAGCAUCGGAGAAGAAUUCCGUCGAUAGUUCGAUAAUACAAUUCAUCUUCAAGAAGCACAUACUUGGUUGCUUGAAAUCGAACCCGUCUUUCAACUUUUUUAGAUGGACCUUUUAGAUAAUCAAUAAUUUCUUUCCUCCAAUCAUCGGCACCGAUUGCCGAUAUUGCAUUAAUCAUUGGCUGAUAUCCCGAUGCAUGCUGAGCUAACCGAUUGGCGUCUUCAUUAUGCAGUCGGGGAACAUGCUCUAAUAGGAAAUCCUUAAAUUCCUUUAACAGUUGCAUACUUCUCUCGAAAUAAGUUAUGGGAACUUCACUUCGGCAUUCAUAGCUCCCAACCAAUUGAUUUAUAACCAACAUAGAAUCCCCGAAGAUUUCAACAGCAUCAGCACGAACUUCUCUUAACAACUCCAAUCCCUUGAUCAGAGCCUGAUACUCAGCCUGUUUAUUUGUCGAUGUGGCAACAAUCGGCAAGGAAAACUCAUACUUCCUCCCCUUAGGGGAAAUUAAUACAAUGCCGAUUCCUGCCCCCCGGUCACAAGUGGAUCCAUCAAAGAAGAGCGUCCAGGGUACAAUUUCCAAGGUUUCCACCACACCGCAAUGCUGAGUCACAAAAUCGGCCAUAAUCUGCCCUCUGACUGCCUUGGCCGAUUCGUAACGCAAAUCGAAUUCCGACAGUGCCAAAAUCCAUUUACCGAUCCUACCACUCAUAAUCGGCAUAGAUAGCAUGUACCGGACCACGUCAUCUUUGCAAACGACGGUGCAUUCGGCCGAUAACAGGUAAUGUCUCAGCUUGAUACAUGAAAAAUAUAAGCAUAGGCAUAGUUUCUCAAUGGCCGAAUACCUGGUUUCAGCAUCGAUCAACCUUCUACUCAAGUAAUAAAUUACCCUUUCUUUCCCUUCAAAUUCUUGAACUAAAGCUGAACCGAUAACCGAUCCAUCGGCAGACAAAUACAAUCUGAAGGGCUUUCCUUGUUGAGGUGGAACUAGAACUGGAGGAUUUACUAGAUAUUUCUUUAUUUCAUCCAGAGCCAACUGCUGUUCUUCUCCCCAAAUAAACUCUUGAUCGGCUUUCAAUUUAAGAAGAGGACUGAAAGCACGAAUCUUACCAGACAGAUUAGAUAUAAAUCUCCUGAUAAAAUUUACCUUGCCGAUCAAGGAUUGGAGCUCGGUUUUGUUGGUAGGGGCCACUAUUUUAUUGAUGGCAUCAAUGGAUCUUCGACUAAUUUCAAUACCCCUUUGAUGUACCAUGAAACCAAGAAACUGCCCUGCCGAUACACCAAAUGCACACUUGUUGGUAUUCAUCUUCAAUCCAUGCUUCCUUGUGCACUCUAACACUUUUUGUAAAUCGGCAAGAUGCUUUGAGAAAUCUCCAGACUUAACCACCACAUCAUCAAUAUAAAUCUCCACGAGCUUGCCGAUGAACUCAUGAAAUAUAAAAUUCAUAGCCCUUUGAUAAGUAGCACCAGCAUUCUUCAACCCAAAAGUCAUGACUAUCCAUUCAAAUAGCCCAACAUGACCAGGACACCUGAAUGCGGUUUUUGGAAUAUCCUCCUCCGCCAUGAAUAUUUGAUUGUAACCUGCAUUACCAUCCAUGAAGCUGAUGACCCGAUGACCAGCCGCAGCAUCAACCAGUAGAUCGGCGACACGCAUUGGGUAUCCAUCCAUCGGCGUAGCUUUAUUGAGAUUCCUGAAAUCAAUGCACACCCGAAGCUUCCCGUUCUUCUUGUAAACCGGAACAACAUUGGAAAUCCACUCGGCAUACCGACACUGCCGAAUAAACUUAGCUUCAAUAAGUUUGGUGAUUUCGGCCUUAAUAUCAGGUAGAAUGUUAGGAUUACAUCGGCGAGCUGGUUGCUGAUGUGGCCGAAAUCCAGACUUGAUGGGUAACCGAUGUUCAACAAUUGAUCGGUCUAAACCAGGCAUCUCGGUAUAAUCCCAAGCAAAGCAAUCUUUAUAUUCCUUUAACAAACUAGUCAAUUGUUGCUUACACUCACGAUCUAAUUUAGCACUAAUAAAAGUAGGCCUAGGCUUAUCACCACUACCUAUAUCUACUUCUACCAAAUCAUCGGCCGAUGUGAAUCCCUGGCCUAAUUUUCCAUCAUCGGCGAAUCUAUCCAUUAAAAACCGUCGUCAGAACCGACUGCUUGGAUCGGUGGAAUCUCGUAAUCGGCAACUUUGAGAAAAUCUUUCUCCCAAACUUCUCCUGAAAUGCACCUGGUCCUUUCGUAAGUAUCCGCUUCUGCCGAUGCGAUAACAUAAGAAGAAUCUCCUGGGACAAUCUCAAUCUUGUCACCUACCCACUGAACCAAGCAUUGAUGCAUUGUAGAUGGGAUACAACAAUUGGCAUGAAUCCAAUCUCUUCCCAAUAAUAAGUUGUAAGCACCUUUUCCACUGAUCACGAAGAAAGUUGUCGGCAAGGUUUUGCUGCCGAUGGUCAACUCCACACAUAUUGCCCCCUUGACUGGAGACACGUUUCCUUCAAAGUCUUUGAGCAUCAUAUCGGUCUUGGUCAAAUCUUGAUCCCCUUUCCCAAGCUUCCGAUAUACUGCAUACGGCAUAAUAUUAAUAGCAGCUCCACCAUCAACUAGGAUCUUGGUCAUUGGCUGCCCAUCAACCCUUCCUUUGACAAACAGAGCUUUGAGAUGCUGUCUCUCGUCAUCAGCAGGUUUCUCAAAGAUAGCCGUCAUCGGAUCCAGAGCCAGCUGAGCUAUCUGAUCAGAAAAUUCCAACUCAUCAUCACUGGAUGGUGCAAGAAACUCUAUCGGCAACAUAAAGACCAUGUUGACUCCUGCCGAUGGACCUUCCUUCUUAGUGUUUGAUGGCUGUUGACUUCCAGAGUUCUCGCCCUUGCUUAGCCCCUCUUGCCUUUCACGCUGCAAUCUCCUUUUCUGUGUCUUGGUUAAUCCUUCAGGACACCAUGGAGGAAGUGGCUUUUGCCUUGCUGCCGGGCGUCGGUUCUCCCUUGACUCCAUACGAUGCGUGUUAGCAUCUCUGCAAAAUAUGAACUCAUCGGGAACCCGUGCAUUAGCCAUCUCCUCGAGCUCUUCCUGGUUCCUGGGAAAAUACUAGACACGGUCACCAAGCCUAUCGUGCACGCUAAGCCUGCCCCCCAGACGAUCAUGAACUGACGCCCUUCCUCUGAUUGGCCCAUCAAAUCGUCGAUUAUCCUCAUGAUAACGCCGAUCGGUCCUAUCGUACCGAUCAUAACCGUUGCACUCAGGGCAGUCUCUGACAGUAGGAAGCUUGAUAUUUUCCUUCCAACAAUGGAUGAAGAACGGACAAUUCCAAUGAUCUCUGUGCCGAUUCCACUCCUUUCGGCGUCUUUCUUCUUCCCGUCGAUAAUCUUCCUGCUGGCGCCGAUACCGAUCCUUCCGUUGUUGCCAAUUUUCUCGAGGCCUUCUAUGAGUUAUGACGAUACCAGACCGAGGAGGCCUUCCUGAGCUAGUUCCUUCCUGGACCAAACCCUUACUCCUUGCAUCGGCAGUAGUAACUUGAUGCUGAGGAUCUACCGAUGCACUCUUCUCAGCUGUCUCUGAUGUUAAGACCUUAGCCUUCCCCUUAGCAUCCAACAUGUUUGUCGGGAAAGGAUGUUGGUCUAUCUUCAUCGGCUUCUGGGCCUUAGAACUGUCAAACUUGAUUCUCCCAGACUCUAUAGCCAAUUGCAGCUGCUGUCUGAAUACUUUGCACUCGUUGGUGUCAUGGGAAGUUGCAUUAUGCCACUUGCAAUAUCUCAUCCUCUUUAACUCUUCUGACGAUGGGAUCACAUGAUUAGGUGACAGUUUGAUCUGACCUUCCUGAAGUAGAAAGUCAAAUAUCCUAUCGGCUUUAGCGGUGUCAAAAGCAAACUUCUCUGGUUCCUUCUGCCCAAAAGGGCAAGACAUCGGCUUCUUGUUUUUUACCCACUCUGCCAAGCCGAUGACUGGUUCCUCAUCGGAAUCUGAGCUUGUUGCCUCAUCAACAAAUGACACCUUCUUGUUCCAUGCUCUUUUGGGCUCAAAAGGCUUGAUGUCUUGAUCAGAAAUCCUCUGCACCAAAUGACUUAAACUUUCGAACUCCUGAGAGGCAUACUUAUCCCUGAUAUGUGGCAACAAACCCUGGAAAGCCAAAUCGGCUAGCUGCCGAUCAUCCAGAACCAAGCUAUAGCAUUUAUUCUUAACCUCUCGUAUCCUCUGCACAAAACCCUCAACCGACUCAUCAUUACGUUGCCUCAACUUGACCAAGUCGGUGAUCUUCUUCUCAUGAACCCCCGAAAAGAAGUAUUUGUGGAAUUGUUUCUCCAAAUCGGCCCAUGUAAUUACUGAGUUGGGAGGUAAUGAUAUGAACCAAGUAAAGGCCGAUCCAGACAAUGAUGAUGAAAAUAGACGAACCCUCAAUUCGUCCCUGCUACCAGCCUCUCCACAUUGAAUGAUGAACCUGUUGACAUGCUCCAUGGUUGACGUGUCGUCCUGCCCGGAAAACUUGGUAAAAUCCGGUACCUUGUACCGAUGUGGAAGCGGGAUCAAAUCAUAUGCGGGAGGAUACGGUGUCCGAUAAGAGUAAGUGUUGACUUUGGGUUUUAUCCCAAAUUGCUCCCUCAUUACUUCAGCGAUCUUAUCGGCCCAAUACGCAUCGGCAACCUGCCGAUGGGGCGGUUGCGGUUCUGGUGCUUGGUGGCGAACCUCCACGUGUCUGUUCGGGACGUGAUCUGCACGGAAUAUCGGAUUGAUCACAUGCCCUCCAAUCUGCGGACCACCAAGCUGCUGUCCACCGAUUUGCUGCCCUCCGAGUUGUUGUCCGCCGAGUUGCUGUCCCCCGAGUUGCUGUCCGAAAUUCAUUGGCUGGUUGGGAAUCCCCUGACCUUGGAACCCGGGAUAGACCUGUCCUUGCUGGAACCCUGUAGUCUGAUAACUCUGCUGGGGCGAUUGUGGAAAGACUUGCUGUCCAAGCCAUCCAUUAUUAGCGUUCAUCGGCAUAGGCGCUGCCGAUGACUGGUAAUUGGGUAUCAUCAUUGAAUUGACAUACCCCGACUGUGCCAUAGACCUCUGUUGCAUCAGCAUUGAUUCUGCCGAUGCAUUAAGCAUCUGGAACGUUGAAUCUUGAGGAUUUCCAGUGUGAGGCCUUGCAGUAGUGGUUGUGGUAUACCGGGGACUUUGGUUCAACGGCACAUUGGGAGGCGCCGAUGUCAUAGGAGUCUUGCCCCUCAUGUCGGUUAUCUGCGAUGUACCUGGCGUCAAUUCUGGAGGCAUACCAUAACCCCACCAGUUGGGAGGAAGAGUCAACCCUGACAUUGCCGAUGCCAACAUAUCUGUAGUCAGCUUAUUCUGCCCACCUGAAGUCUGCGGGUUAGUUGUCAUCGGCACAGAUAGAGCACCAGAAGCUCCCGAUGUACUUGGAGGGACGGCAGAUUGUGCACUUGCAGCCGUCAAAGCAGCCGAUGGAGCCGUGACUUCUGGUGCCGUGGGCUGGUGAUGAGAGGGGCCCACAUAAUCUGGUGGGAUUUGUCCUUCCUUGAAAGUUCUUGCCACGGCAUUGAAAACCGUAUUAGACAGUACACCAGCUUGGUUGAUCAAAGCUCGGUUGAUAGCAUUGUCAACCAUAUCUUGAAGCUUGCCAGGAUUGGCGUCGAAGGUAACCUGCCGUGGCGCCGGCAGUGCAUCUUUCUGGACCACUUCGCUGCUCCUAUUUAUACUGAAAGACCUCAGGCAUUGGAGCUUGAACUCUUCCAUGGCUUGGGCAAUAGCUUGCUUCUGCUCAUCCUUGAGAUUGGCCUCCGUCACGGGGAUGACGUUCUCUUGAUCGAGGUCAGAGAUCGACAUGUUGAUCUUGAUCUUGAAUCUGGUCCCACCAGGCGUGCCAAAAGAUGUGUUGAUGCAAAACUGAUCUGCAAACACAAAGGGCUAAUACCCGAUUCAAACGUUAAGGCGUGCCAGCCGAUUUGACCUUACUAUCGGCAAAGGUGAUAACUCGAAUACUUUAGUCCUGACAACAGCGAUGCGCCCGGAUGUCACGGCUAAGAGGUACUCACGCGGAACUUGAGAACACGCUGAGCUUAAGUCGACGAAUUCCUAAGAACUCGUAAUAAAAGGGAAAAAGUAUGACGAAGUCGUCGAAAAGUAGAUGCUGGAAUAUGAGUAAAAACGUGUGUUUGAUUGAUUGAUAGAUAUCUCAUUACAAGGCCCUAGGGUCUAUAUUUAUACCCUGCUCAAAGAGCUACAACCAGAAACAAUUAGAUUUUGAAUUCCAAACUACACGGAAUCCGUAUACAAAACGAUGUAAAUAAUUAAGGAAAUAACAAAACUAUCCCCCGUGACAAACUGAAACUCCCUCACACAACGACCAGCAACUCCCGGACUCCCUCUUUGCAUCAUCGGCAGACCCUUUGCCAUAGUCAUCGGCAGACUUUCUUAUCCAGCCAUCGGCACAGUCAUAUCACUGCCUGUAGACUUAGUCACGUUCAACUUCUCCUUCAUCGGCAACCAUCCUUAUCGGCAACUCACCUUGUAAACAUCGUACCGCCACCUCAUCCUGCCAUCCUAGACACGUGCCCAAAAACGGUGUCAACACCCUCAUACCACUUAAACCAAGUUGUCAUCCCCAGCAUGACAUGAGAGACGUGGUAUUAAAAUAUGCACUUGCUCUUCUAAAUAAAUAAUAAAUGGGAUCUGCAAGCGCACAGAUUAAUACCGAUGUAGCAUUUUAACCGGGAAGUAUUCCAGGUAUCGUUAUUUAUAUUUUUACCACUGUGAAGGGAUUAACAAUCAUCAAUAUUGAUUACAGAAUAGAAUAUGAGAUUGAGUAUCUAUCAUUGCAUGUAUAAUUGAGAACAUUUAUCUAACUCUUUCAUACAGGGGUAAGUGUCACAUAAAGGAUAUAUGAAGUAAUGAAUAGUGACAAAGAUAAUUAAUCUGAUCAUAAAUAGCCACAUAUAAAUAUGAUAAGCACCUCAAUUAGAUACUCUAGAAAGUCAUUAGCAUGGAAUUAGAACGAACUACAAGAAUAUUUCCUAAGUUAUUCUCAACUAUAUAGUCUAGCAUUAUCAUAAUUAGUGCAAGCAUACUUAGCAAUCAUUGCGAGACAAGACUACGCCCAUGCAUAGUGAUAUUAGCAAGGUAAAUGAGAAACAUAGCAAUCACUCUCCUGUAAUAAUAUUGCUCUGCCAGCCCAAUACACGAGAGGGGGACUAUAUAAGAAUCAAUGAAGCUGUCACUAUCACGAACUACCCCACGAUCUGGCAUAUUGGGUACAAUCACAGAUAACUACGGUAUAAGCACCACGCCUACACAAUAUCUAUCAUUUACCCAUGGAUCCAAUGGAUAAACGCUAUACGAUCCUAAGCAUGUAUAUAGAUCCAAUCUAACUAAGCCAAGUACAUAACUAUGGUAAACUAAUAAGAACAAUAUAAUCUUGAAUAUAAGCAACUAGAGCAAAGUCAUAUGCAAUAUAUAGAAGUAGAACAAAGUCAUAUUCAUAAUAUUGAAGAACAAAGAUAAUUAGAAGAACAAUUAGAAGCACAAUUAGAGAAUUACCAAGAAUCCUCUUGACAGAUCCGGAAACCAAUCGAAGAUUGACUCCUUCUAGUUCUAAUCCUAUGUAGCUAUGCUAAUCUAGAUGUCUAAUUGGUGUGGUGGCUCUAAUCUUGAUCAAAGGCUUCUUCUCCCUUGAGAAUAAUGAAUUAGGGUUGAGAGGCUCUAUCCUCCAGGGUCCAGGGGGUCUGGUUUUAUAGUCUCUUCAAGUGAGUAUGGGCCGUUGGAUCAAACAGUCAUUGAUUGAACGGUUAUCCUUGAUCCUUUAGGUCGGUGGAGAUCUUCCCCAAAACAGAGUCCUGAUUGGACUCAGAGAGGGGGCGGGCGCCCAGGGCAACUGGGCGGGCGCCCAGUCCCUGGCCCCGUUCGGCCUCCGCUUCCUUCCCGUGGCUUCUGGAGUCUUCUAGAUGUAAGAUAAUUGCGCGGCACGUUGAUAUCUCUAUGUAAUCCCGACGUGUGGGCCUUUCUUCCGUAUUUCCUGAUAACCCCCUGCAGAAAUAGACAAACACCAAAACUCAUGGAAUUCUGUCAGAUAAAACCCUAAGUCUAGAUGUUGAUUUCAUUUGGAUCUUUUUCUUUGUUUAUUUGAUAAUUAAAUUUGAUACUUAAGGACCGUUAACAAACUCCCCCAAGCUUACCUCUUGCUCGUCCCUGAGCAAGGAUAGACUCAGUGAUGGAUUAGAAGUUGUUGCAAUAUCUUAAAAAUUGACGGUACACAUGCUUUUAAAUAAAGAUCUCAUCUCUGAGUUAGAGUAAACUGUCAAGACUUAAAACUUACUUAGUUUAUCUUUCACCAUGGGACUUGUAACCGUUACUUCUGUCUUGAGUAGUUAAAAGAUAGAACAGUCUAGUCAAGUGUCAUGUCUCUUAUUCUUGAUCAGCUAUAGCUCUGGAGUUUUUGCAGAUUUUCAAAUAAAACUCAGAGAUUCCUUGUAUGACUCUCUCAUAUCUCUCUUUUGUGGUAUUUCUGGAUCCUUACCAAGGCAGUAAUGGUAUAUGCCUUCUCUCAAAGUAUGUGGUAUUUUUGGUAUGAGGCAUAGUGAUAUUGCCUUCUCUCUCACCCUACUCUAAUAAGGUUUUGAUAUCUGGAGCUCAUAGGUGGGAGACAGCUAAUACAUACUUACAAGACAUUUAUUGCAUAGUCAAACCAUGGAUCCAGAAGAACAAGUCAAUAAGUCAAAUCAAGAUGUGCAUGUGUGGCGAAUGAAUGGUGUAUGGUGACGAUGGUGAUAAUAAUGGUGAAAGUCUAAUUAUACUUUUGCUCUUUUGAGGGGAUACAUACCUUUCUUGCACUUUGAAGCUUUUUGAGGAUAAUGAGAUGCUCUAUAUUUUCUUUCUCUUUCCUCUCAGGUGGGUAUCUUGUACCCCUAAUUCUACUGUCGGACACUUGUCCAUUUUUACCUCUCGUCUCACUUUUUCUUUUCUUUCGAGGUUCCGGGCACUUGCCCCUUUUUAUUUCCUCGUAUUUUUCCUCUCUUUUUUUAGAGCACUCAUCUCCUUAAAUAAUAUAGCAAGUGGUAGUAACCAAGAUAACUCGAGCAUUUAUUUCACAGGGAAUAACAAGGAUAGGAAAAUAUUUUUGGCUAUUCUCUCCCGGAUUAGGAGUAGAAUAAUUUUGAGUGAAUCUAGAGAUGGAAAUGAGUGGAUAUAUGUGGAUGGUACUUCCGGAGUAGAAGUAGCAUGUAUGAGUGAACGUACAAGUGAAUCUUGAUUUUAACCACGUGACAAGCUCCUAAGGGUCUACACAGCUUGACCACACUCAAUGCUCAUAAGCAGUAAAAAGUAAAUGUGUGGCUGUGGUAGGAUUUUAAACUCUCAUCAUAUAGGAACUCAUCAUGUGUUAUUUUAAAGAUUUUUCAAAGAUAAAAUUCUCCAGAAUUCUAGCAUCUCUAGGAACAGAUAAACAGCAGCUCAACCUUCCUAUAUCAUAUCCGUUAACAACUUAGACUUUAGAUCAAGUACUCUUCCCACAAGUUUAGGUUUAGAGCAAAUCUUACUUCAUAACAGUCAUGCCUAAACUUGAGAGAGGUUUCAAUUUUAAGAACUAGUCAUGGCAGAGCAACUAUUCAUCAUUUCCAUGUGAGAUUUUAUCAUGAGGGUUCAUAGCAAACUUUAUUUAUUUAUUUAUUUAGCAAACUAAGCAAAGAUAUAUAUAAAAGCACAAGAUCUUUAUUUGGGUUUUUAUGAUUAUGUAUCUUUUUAUUAUUUGAUUAAAGUAUAAACGCGAGUAGAAAUACUUAGCUGGAUAAAUGAGGGUGCUCUCCCCCAAGCUGGAUUUUGACGUAAUUUCUUCUGAUGUAGCUAGCAGGUGGCAGAGGUGUAUUUGAAAAUCAGCAGCAUUCUAACAGCGAUUAGAAUGUCCUCCGUCUGCUAGUCUUCUUGAUUCUUAAAUCCUGUGGAGCUCAAAUAGACAACAAAGCUUUGUGGAACUGGUUAAGUGUUAGCAUAAAUAUCUAGCCUUUAUCAUGUUGAGCCUCCUCAACAAAUGUUACUUAUUUAGCAGGAUCAUGCACUUAUUAUUUUUAUAUUUUUAUUGUAAGAUGAAAACAUAUUUAUUUUAUGCCACCACAGUGAAUGUACCUAUGGGUUUUAUGCCAUGAGCAUACUCACAUGGGGCUUACUAUUUUUUUAUCAUUUUUAUUUUCUUUUCAAGAUAGCAUGAACCUGAUUAACUAAGCAAAUUAUUGAAAGGAAAAAGAUAACUACCAUGUUUACCUCUUGGCAAGGCGUUCGGUAUUUUUAAGUCCUCCGAACGGGACUCUCCGUUUUCUCAGUCGUCCUGGGAUUUAACUAUCUUCUCUCUCCACACCUGACUCGGUGCUACGGUCUCCUCAGGACAGUUCUGUUCAAGCUAUAUGUCUUCAGACCUUAUCACUUCUCCUUCGUAGUCUGCCCAUUCGUCCUUGAUGAUUUGCCUCAUCUGGUUGCGGUUGCAUCGUCUUCUUGUCUUGAUCUGCUUAGAGUCUUCAACUAUAUAGUUAAGGUUAGUAAAAUAGUGGCGUACAUUCUCAGAGGGGAAAUGCAUGUGGACUUCUCUGGUUCCAUUAUAGAUAAUGGCUUUGAUAGUGUUUGAGGAACGGUCUUCCAAGGAUGAUGGGUGGAUCCUACUCGUCUUCUUCCAUGUUAAUGACCUGAAAAUCAUCUGGAGCUGAAUGUAUAUUGGUUGUAGGGGCAUGGUUCCAUGUAGGAGCAGAUAAGUGACUGCGGCCAUUAUGUUGUCGUUAGAUCCGGUGUCGUAGAGUGUCUUCUGAAAAGAGUAUCCGUUGAUUGUGCACUAGAUGCUUGGAACACCAGGGUCGUUCUUCUUGAUCAAGAAAGGUGACUUGAGUCGACGAUCUUGACCUCCUCUGAUAAGGAUCCAAUGUUUUAAGUCUUCUGGAGAAGACUUCUCACUAUCUUCAUCCUUUAGGUGCACCAUUUGAUUAGGUGUGGACCUUGACGUCUGCACCUCUUGAUACGGUGUCACCUAUAUUCUUUGAUUGCCUAGCUGUUCGUAGUGCGGUGUUGGCAAUAUCCUGCUUAGUGUGUUUGUGCUUGUAAAUCCAGGUCCUUCACUUGGUGGAGUCUGGGAGUUGUAAAACUCCUCCAUGUUUUGUUCGAAGUGUACCUAUUCAUAGAGACAAGGCAGAGAUCAAGUGCAUGGGCCCUGUUGGUGGAAAACACCAACAGAACCAAAAGUGUAUUUGUUCUUCUCUAACCUUAAACAUAGUGAGCAAGACAAAGUUGAUGGAUCAUGAGUGUAGUAUUUAAAACAUUUGUUAGAUCAUAUGGCUCAACCUAAUGGAAAGAUAAUCUAUCUAUAUUUAUGUUUUGUUUAUAUCUUCCAAAGAUUGAAUAUGCAAUAUUUUAGCUUAUAUGUUUAGGAGCGUGGGAUCACGAAGGUAGUACUAAGAACAAAGAUUAAAGGACUAAACAUGUUGAAUUAAUUGGGUUGAUUAAUUUGGAGCUACAAAUCAUACAUGUUUGUCUCUUUAUUCAUGUGAAUGCCAGAACCAAGGAGAAGCUUAUAAAAGCGAUAGUCAAGUACCUUAAGAUGUUACCUUACUUGAAGAGUGACGGUACAGUAUCACCUUGUGGAAGCUUUCCUUUCUUAGCGGUUGUGCAUCGUGUUUGUGGCACCCUCCAUGGAUCAUCUCUUAUGAGCUACGUUUUUCUUGUGCAAAUUGUUAAACUUCAUGUGUCACUUUCUUCAUCUCCAAUGUGAGUUUAUCUCAGGACUUCCCAGGUUGAUAUUGAAAGUUUUCCUGCAGGGGUUAGUCCGACAAAAUAUACCAAUGCCUACUCAAGUAGUUUUUAGUUCAGUAACCAAACUAGACUCCAUGUCUAAUCAGAUUAAGGAAGGCUAUUUAACCUAAGCACCACGCUUAAUUUAAAAUCCAAUAGAAGUAUGUACAGUACUUCCAAACUCACACUUACUAGAAUAAACAAAGGUAGCAUGAUGGCUUAUAGAGAUCUACUUAAGUGGAGAUGAAGUAGUGUGAUUAGUAUUUAACAAAUUGAGCAUGUCUCAAAGGUAGGGACAACCAACAUAGCAACAUGGCAAAUGAUGUUGUAAAGUACUCCCCCAAGCUUGAAUUUUGCAGAAUUCAAGAUUGGAUGAAUUUAAUUCAAUGUUGCAUGAUGAUUGGUUGGACAUACCUUGUGCUUGCCAUUCAUUGGAUCUUCUUGCUCCAAUCCUGGAAAGGUUAGUGUCAAGAAUACCCGAAGGAAUAUUUCUAUAAUUAUCUCAAUAUGCUCAAUACACAAGGCAAUGUUGCAAAUAAUUAGAAGUUCAUGUUACGAUCUGAUAAGUGCUUGUUUAAGGAUGCUAAGCUUAUCCUUGGGAAACCAUCAAGUUAUGUUGGUGAAGUGGUUUCCCCUCCAACACCUACCUAUAUCAAGAUCAACUCAACGAGAUCUGCAAUAUUUAUUAUAGACAUAUGCAUCGACAACCGCCCUUUUAAAGUUUUUAUAAAUAGAAAAUAAGAGGGGGUUGGAGAUCUCAAAUGUGGUAAGGUCAGAGAGACCAAUUGAUUGGGGAGAUGUUUCAUAUGAGCAAGGACUUGAUGAGGUAUUUAUGAAAUAAUUUCCAUGCUCACUGUUGUUUCUCUCAUUCUCAAACUCCAAGGAUGAUUCUUCAUGAAUGCUUAAAAUUCCUCUAGGAUUGUAUCUCAAGUUUGUUUUAUCUAUCCAUUCAAUGGUGAUAGCACAUGGAUUUUUAAUGCCCUCUAGCCAUUGAUGUUGCUCUUCUCGAUCCUCCUUCUUAUGCAUGGGAUGUCUAGAGAGAUUCAUAGGAUUAUCGGGAGGUUCAAGAGAAAAAGCAUAGUAGAAACUAUUAAGCUCAAGGAUGGGAUGGAUAGCCGAAUCAUGAGAUUGAAAUGUUUAGAAAUUGGCUAUUAAAACUUCCUUUCCUCGUCUGGGAGAUGAUUCCUUCUCUAUCUCUAAGAUUUUUCUAUGAAGACUAGUACAAGAAGGAUGUCCACAAAUGAAGACAUACCUUCCUUUACUAAUAGAUAAAGAAAGAAGGACUCUACUAAAGGUUAUGUGAUUAAGACCAAUGUGAAAAUAUCUAGGAAAAACAUGGUCUUGUAGGGCUAGGUCUAAACCAGAAUUUAUAGAAAGAUUAAAAGAUUCCCUAGGUGUAGCUAAAAGUGCAUUAUCUUCUUGAUUAAAAGAUAGGACCUCAGCUAUAGAAAAGGGUUGGUUUUGACCUAUUGCAAUCAACUCCGGACACAGAUCAUAAUUAGGGGCAGGACGUGUUGACUCCCAUGGUCUAUGGCUGGUCUCCGAAGGUGCAAAGAAUUUAAUAAUAGGUAUGGAAUUUAAGUUACCCAUAAAGAUAAAAAUAAAAAGAUAAAAGAAUAAAAGUAUAAGAGUAUAAUACAAGAUAAUAGCAAGACUCAAAGUUAUCUCAGCAAACCGUCUUUCUCCCCGGCAACGGCGCCAGAAAUGCUUGUUGAUAUUUGGUAACGCAAUAAGGAAAUGAUCCGCAAGCGCACGGAUAUCGGUGAGCAUUUCACCCGGGAGGUUAUCCAGAGUUAUCGUAUUUAUAUUUUUACCACUGGGAGAAAGGGUGCAUCUGACUAACCAAAUCUAUUGCUACUAUCCCUUUAGGCUACAAAGAAUGUCUCUCAAUGUGAGUGAUGUAUAGAGAAGACUGCAACCGUAGUCUCGUUCUAACCUUGGUAAGGAUGAUCUACUGUUCUAUUGGGAAGGAUCACGGAAUCUAGACACCACAAAGGAUGUUCGACCCGCACCUAUAAACCCUACCCGUCCUGCUAACAAGAUAUGGAAUACAAAGGUAACUCGGAAAUGUCACAUUCCUCGCUACUACCACGGUCCAGCUAGUCAGGGGAUAUCUAUGAGUACCCUAGCCUAAACACCACGUUUACGCUAGCAAGUGAUUACUCUAAUACUCAACCGGAAGAGGAUUAAAGUAAACUCAUAAACCAAAGAACAAUAAAACAAGAACUUACUAGUAUUAGAAGUCAAAUUACUGAAGAAUCUUAGAAGCAAGCCUCGGGUUAGGAGACUUGAUCCCGCAGGUACAACUCGGAGUAGACACCGACAGGCCGGCCUUCCUCCGAUCUACACCUCCACUCUAUCUCUCUCAAUCUAGUAGAAACUAGAAGAUCUAUUUCUACUUUACAUUGGUUGCUAAGCCUAAAAAGAAAUAUUAUUUAGAGAAGAGGUUUUCCUUCGAGGGCACCCCUCAAUCUCUAUGAUAAUUUCUUGUCUUCUCCAGGGGCCAAAGGGGCCUCCUUAUAUAGUCCUCCUCCUCUAUGUGUUUUUGGGUCGGUAGGCGAGGUGGUACUAUGUUUUCCUUGAUCCAAUAGGUCGGUGGAACAACGUGUGCGAAGAGAGUCCCGAAAGGCAUCCAGAGGGGGGCGGGCGCCCAGGUCACCAGGGCGGGCGCCCUGGGCCUGGCCCCUUUCGGCCUCCGCCUUCUUCCUAUGGCUUCUGGAGUCUUCUAGAUGGUAGAAAAUUGCGCGGUGCGUUGAUAUCUCUAUGUAAUCCCGACAUGUGGGCCUUUCUUCCUUAUUUCCUGAUAACCCCCUGCAGAAAUAGACAAACACCAAAACUCGUGGAAUUCUGUCAGAUAAAACCCUAAGUCUAGAUGUUGAUUUCAUUUGGAUCCUUUUCUUUGUUUAUUUGAUAAUUAAAUUUGAUACUUAAGGACCGUCAACAAUGUACGAUGUCAUGGAAAUUGGCAAACUUAAAGGUCAACUCUCAAAACAAAAACAAGCCACCGAGAACUGCGAGGCAAUGCUGUCCCGUAUGGUGGAAGAGAGGAAUGCCACGAUUGCCCAAGAAGAGGAGGCCAGGAACGCACAUAGGCAUGAGCUGAUCAGAAUGAAGGCGAAGCUGGAUAAAACCAAGUACCUCAAAUAUCUGUACGUGAAGAUGACGGCCACUGUCACCGCGCAGAGAGAUGUUGCGUGGCAGCGGGAGGACCAGCUACAGCUGGAGAAGCUCGAGCUGGCACAUCAUCUAGAUACCAUCAACGAUUUGGCAAUGCAAUACCGUGAUGUUGCAUUUGAUCUAUACCAUCAGUUCCAUCCACCUCCAGGUGAAGGGCAGAUGGGCACGGAUGGAGAGUUGGCGGAUGAUGGGGAACCCGAUCAAGGCCUCAAUGAUGAGGAGGAGUCCGACUCCGAUGACGACAACCCGGGGGGUAAUAAGGAUGAUGGCAAUGACGACCCGGGCUACAGCUCUGGCCACACCGACUAGUUCGGUGAAGCCGUGGGCAACGUCGUUGUUGGAUUCCUAGUCGACCGUAGUGGGGUCGGGUUUGUAGUAUAGUAUCUUUUCUUUUAAAAGUUGUACUCAUUUAUUCCUAGUGUGUUGAACUGAUGUUUAAUAAAUAAAUGGAAGUAUGUAAGAUAUGUUGUAAGUUAUGAAUUCCCUGUGAUAACAAGUACAUAUGAUUCUUGUAGCAGAUGCCGAUGCGUACCUGUGGAUCUGACGGAGCCGGGUCCUCUCAGGGAGGGGAUGAUAUCCCCAACCCUCCACCUGCUCCGCCUUCUCUGGCUGAUGCCAUUGCUCUUCUUUUGAGUGCCACUACCGACAACGCUCGCUUGUUGCAUGAGUUAGCACAAUGUCAACCACACCCCGCCCCAAACUUCAGAGCACAGCACAAUGGGGAUGGAGAAACUCAGUACGUGGACUUUACCGAGACAAGGCCCCCGGUAUUCACUAAGGCUGAUGAGCCUUUAGAAGCUGAUGACUGGCUCCGAACAAUGGAGCACAAGUUCAGUCUGAUCCGAUGUUCGGAAACUCAGAAGCCCCUGUUCGCAGCUCAACAGCUUCGGGGAGCUGCAGGUGCCUGGUGGGAGAACUUCGUAGCUAUCCAAGCUCCAGGACACCAGGUCACCUGGACAGAGUUUAAGGACGCGUUCCGCGCCCAUUACAUCCCUGAAGGGCUUAUGCCCAUGAAGGCCGAAGAGUUUCUCGCCUUGCAGCAAGGUGAUAAGAGUGUCAUGGAAUACGUGGCAAAAUUUAAUCACCUCUCUCAGUACGCCACGGACCAUGUGAACACGGACAGAAAGAAGAAGGCCUGUUUCAUGCAUGGUCUCAAUACCAAACUUCAGACAAUGAUGACCACAUGUCAAAAUGCUACCUUCGACGAGGCGGUAAAUAUUGCUAUCGCCUCAGAAGAAAAGAAUAGAAAGCACAAAGAAGCCAAGAAGAAGGCUGCUUCUUCCUCCUUCUCUGGUCGCGGUCAAAAGCGCCAGAGAAUCAUUUAUCAUCCGCAGGGCCACGGACGCUUUUCAGCACCGCCACCUUAUCGUGGUCCUUUUUCCCCUCCACAAUAUAGACUAGGGCAGCAGGUAUAUCCUCGACCUACUGCCAUCGCCACUGCACCACGCCAGCCGAACGCCCCAGGUGUUCGCCCCACUGCUCCGCCCAACCGCAAUUAUCCUUGUUUCAAUUGUGGUAAGCCUGGGCAUUUUUCCAAAGAGUGCCCCUACCCCCGCCAAACCAACCCCACUUUCCAAAGGCCACCCAUGGGCCAACCCCAGCUGAGCCAAUUCAGGACUAGGGCUCAGAAAGGACAAAAUGUGCAAAGGGGUAAACCAGCGAAGAAAGUGGGACAAGUCUUCCAUACAGAGGUGGAGACGAUCCCGAAGGGUGAACCAGUAAUGAUGGGUACGUUUCCUGUUGCGAAACAUCCUGCUUUAAUGCUUUUCGAUUCUGGUGCACCUCAUACAUUCAUCAAUCGCACCUUUGUGAUAAAGCAUGGCAUACCCAUUGGGGAAACACAAGAUCAUUUUUAUAUACAGUCGCCAGGAGGACGGCUGAGUUCUAAAGAAAUGGUUCACCAGAUACCCAUCGAAUUUGGUGGGCAUAGUUUUCCCACUAGCAUGAUUGUUCUUAAAGACAAGAAGAUUGAUGUCAUACUAGGCAUGAACUGGAUGGCACAACGAGGGGUUGUGCUAGACACUUUGCAUCGAACCAUUAAAAUACCAUUGCUCAAUGAGAAUUCUUAUCUGCUAAUUCAAUUAGUUACUCCCAAACGGGCAAUUGGGCAAGUUCAUGCCACUAAUGUGUCUGCAGUCAAAAAUAUCCCGGUAGUUCGGGAUUUUCUGGAUGUAUUUCCUGAAGACCUACCAGGUCUGCCACCGGACCGGGAUGUCCAGUUUAGUAUAGAGUUAAAACCAGGGACAGCCCCAAUAUCUCGAAGGGCCUACCGUAUGGCACCAAAAGGACUGGCCGAAUUAAAAACCCAACUACAAGAGUUGAUGCAAAAAGGUUUUAUUCAGCCCAGCUCCUCUCCAUGGGGUUGCCCAGCCUUAUUUGUGAAAAAGAAAGAUCAAACAUUAAGGCUGUGUGUCGAUUAUCGUCCCCUGAAUGAGGUGACGAUUAAAAACAAGUACCCAUUGCCCCGUAUUGACUUACUAUUUGACCAGUUAGCCGGGGCCAAGGUAUUCUCAAAAAUUGAUUUGAGAUCAGGGUACCACCAAAUUAAAAUUAGGCCGGAAGAUGUACCCAAAACGGCUUUUACAACCCGUUACGGGCUGUAUGAAUACUUGGUAAUGUCUUUUGGGUUGACCAAUGCACCGGCCCAUUUCAUGUACUUGAUGAACUCUGUCUUCAUGCCAGAACUAGACAAAUUCGUGGUCGUCUUCAUCGAUGACAUCUUGAUUUAUUCCAAAACUAAGAAAGAACAUGCUGAACAUUUGAGAAUUGUGCUGACUCGCCUCAGGGAGCAUCAACUAUAUGCCAAGUUCAGCAAAUGUGAGUUCUGGCUGGACAAAAUUCAUUUCCUGGGUCACGUAUUAUCAGCGGACGGAGUCGCUGUAGACCCAGGUAAAGUAGAAGAUGUGUUGAAUUGGAAGCCCCCGACUACGGUACAUGAGGUCCGUAGUUUUCCUAGUAUGGCGGGAUAUUACCGUCGCUUUAUCCCGAACUUUUCAAGAGUCGCCAAACCAAUCACGACCUUGCUCAAGAAUCAAAAAAAAUUUGUUUGGUCACCUCAAUGUGAGCAAGCCUUUCAGACUCUGAAAAGGUUAUUGACAACUGCACCUGUCUUAGCCUAGCCAGAUAUUGAAAAACCCUUUGAUGUGUAUUGUGACGCAUCAGGGAUUGGGAUAGGUUGUGUGCUAACGCAGGAGAGUCGAGUAAUUGCAUAUGCUUCCAGACAGCUUAAACCACAUGAAGAGAAUUACCCAACCCAUUAUCUUGAACUAGCCGCCGUAGUACAUGCAUUAAAGAUCUGGCGCCAUUAUCUGUUGGGGAACACUUGUCAUCUAUACACGGAUCAUAAGAGCUUGAAAUACAUUUUCACUCAAGCUGAACUGAAUAUGCGCCAGCGAAGGUGGCUAGAGUUGAUCAAGGAUUACGACCUUGAGGUGCAUUAUCACCCUGGCAAGGCGAAUGUAGUAGCUGAUGCCCUCAGUCGUAAGGCCCAAUGUAAUUGUUUAACAGUGACGCCUAAAGACAUAACUUUGUGCCAAGAGCUAGAGAACUUGGGGAUAGACAUGAUUUCCCAAGGAAGCCUUGCCAAUCUAAAGAUUGAUUUCAAUCUUGAAGCUCAAAUCAUAAAGGCACAAAAAGAGGAUAAAGGCAUGAAAUAUCGUAAAGAGAAAAUUUCUAAUAGAGCACCCACACAAUUUGUCUCCCAGUUCUGGAAAUGUUUACAUGAAUCCUUGGGCACCAAGCUUUUAUACAGCACGGCCUACCACCCUGAAACCGGUGGGCAAACUGAAAGGGUGAAUCAAACUCUAGAAGAUCUAUUAAGAUCUUGUGGCCUGAAUUUUCUGGAUAAGUGGGAUGACUGCUUGCCUCUAGCAGAGUUUUCCUACAACAAUAGCUACCAAGAAAAUAUUAAGAUGGCUCCCUUUGAGGCACUAUAUGGCCGUCGAUGUUGAACUCCGUUACACUGGUCAAAACCUGGAGAAAGGUGGUUCUUUGGGGUUGACUUAGUGAAAGAGACUGAGAACAAAGUUAGACAAAUCCAAAAUAACUUGAAAGUUGCUCAGUCCCGACAGAAAAGCAAUGCCGAUCAAAGACGUCGACCAUUAAGGUUCGCCAAGGGUGAUCAUGUGUAUUUGAAAGUAUCCCCAAUGAAAGGAGUAAAUCGUUUUGGCGUUAAAGGCAAGUUAGCGCCCCGUUACAUUGGUCCAUUUCUAAUCAUUGACCGAUGUGGACAGGUAGCUUACCGCCUGAAACUGCCCGAGCGGUUAUCCGGGAUACACAAUGUAUUUCAUGUGUCUCAACUGAAAAAGUGUCUUCGAGUAUCGGACCAGGUUCAAGAUAUCAAAGAUGUGGAACUUAAACCAGAUCUAACUUAUGCGGAGUAUCCUAUCCGAGUAUUGGACCAAAGAGAUAGAGUUACUCGAAGAACAACUACCAAGUGGUACAAGGUACAGUGGAACCAGCACUCUGAAGAGGAAGCCACAUGGGAAUCUGAAGAUUACCUAAUGGAGAAUUUUUCGGAGUUCCACGCUUCUCUUCAAGACAACAUCUGAUAAAUAGGAAGUGUACUCUAUUGAAGGAAAAGAGUAGCCAAAGCCAUGUACUUAGUGCACAUAUAUGUUUAUGUUUGAGUAGUCUUCCCCAGCUUCUUGUCUUAUGAAAAGGUUGAAGAUGAAAUAGUUUGACAAAUUUCCUUUUCCAUUACGUAUCCUAAGAUUUUAAAUCUCGGGGACGGGAUUUCUUUAAGGGGGAAGGGCUGUAACAUCCCCGAUGUUACGGUUACUAAAACUUGAUCAUGUCAUCAUGAUCAUUGCAUCGCAUACCUGCUAAGCACCUUAUUAUGCAUCAACUUAAAACAAAUUUAUUUUGAUUGGUUGUGCUUAGGGAAUGAAAGUGUGCUCACAUUGUGUAUUGAUGCUUGUGUUGGUUGCUAAAACCCUAGGGUGAAAGAUUUCCGAAAGAUUAGGGGGGGAAAACCCUGAUUUUAGAACCAUAGAUUUGCCCCCUUUUGUGUAACUUAAAAACUAAGCAAAAUUUGGGGAUGAAUUCAAAAGCAAAAGUGUAGAUCUUGUCAAGAUGUACAACUUUGGUGUUUUGAGUUUUUGAAGUUUCAUUACAAAAUUCAAAGUAAUUUUGAAAAUACAGAUUUCCAGAAAGUGUCCCCUUUUCCAAUUUGAAUCUCCAAUUCAAAAUCUAUUUGGAAUUUUGAAAAGUGACCAACAUGAAAGUUGUAGAGCUCAAAAAGCUGAACAACUUUCAUGUUGGGAGUUUUUCAAGUUGUUCAGGAAAAUCAAAGGUAAUUUUGGAAAUUAUGUUUUGCCCUAAUUCAAAAAUUUGAAUUUUCCUAAAUUGAGAUUUUAAUUUCAAACUUUCUGGUCAAAUUCACCAAUUUCCACUCAGAUUCAGCUUUGGUCACCAAAAGGAGUUUUGUAGCUUGUAAAAUUCUGCACAACUUUGGUUUUAACAGAUUUUGGACUUUAAUUCAAAAUUUGGUCGAAUUUUGCAAAAAACAGAGAAGAGGGGAUAAGGGACAGCUACAGUGACCCGAUAGGGAUCACGGCGCCCUGUCCAGCGCGGCCGCCGCGCGCGCAGCACCACGUGCGCGCGUGCAAGCACGCAGCCUGCUUGCCUGCCUGUGUCGCCAGGCGACGUGGAAGCCGGGCGUCUCCUCCGUUCGCAAUAUAAGCCUCUCCACCGGCCGACAUGCCCCUUUUGUUUCCCUCACGCCCGACGCUGGUGAACUUUGUCGGCCUCAAAAUUCAUCGUGUCCACUCCCUUUCCGAGCCACCUUAGCACACCAGCAGCUCCGCCCUGAGCUCCGCCAUCGUUUGCGCCCCUGAGCGCAAGCGCUAACCCCUCCUAGCCCGCAACCGAGCCGUUUCUCUCCCGACUCCGGCCGAAGCGCCGCCGCGAGCACCUCACCGCGGCUAGGCCUGCUCUGAGCUCCUCUACUGCCAUCGUUUGCUUCGCUGAAAUCGCGGUGAGCCACCGAUAUUUAUGCGCUAUCCAAUUCGCGCUCUACUCGCUCGUAGUGGCCGGCGUUUGCUCGGCCGAGGUGGCCGUCCGCCGCGCCCGUGGCCGUGGGAGCUAGACUAGGAGAGAGCGCGUGUUUAGGGGGUCCAGAGGUGCGCCAUGGAGUGGAGGACGCGACCAACGAGUCGCGAGGGGCGAAGAUGGCGCGGAUGGCUCGGUCGUGCCGUUGAUUCGGCCGGCCGGAGCUUGAAGACGAAGCUGACAGUGGGGGCCCGCUGUCAGCGACGCCGUGAGUGGAGGCGAGGGCGCGCGCAGCGCCCGCGCGGGCCGAGCGCGGACGGGCCGGCCUGCGGGCCGAGUUCCUAGGCUGCUCGCGGCAUAGUGUUGUUUUCCUUUUUCUGUUUAUGCCAAAUUUGUUGUAUGUUUGAAUUUGAAUAGAAAAUCAUGUACUGAUCCAAAAAUGAUGAAACUUUUUGUGUAGGUUCCAUAAAAUAAAUAGAACAUAGGAAAAGUAUUAGGUUCUAUUUUCUGGUUGUUUGCGUGUGUAUAAAAAUUGCCUCUUUUAAUUAGUAAAUAAAACUUCUAUGAAUUUUAAUAAUUUAUUGAUAUGUCCAAAAAUCACCAAAAUUUGGGGGAUGCCUCUGAAUAUUAUUCCCUGGCUCCACACAAAAUUUGGUGGUAUUUGGAUAAUGUUGGAAUAAAAUAUUAUUAAACCCUUAAUUAGUAAUUAAAUAAUAAUUCUAGGAUAAUUAGGUAAUAAUUAGUUAAAUUCUCAAAAUUAGGGUUUGAGUGAUUUUGGGAUUGUGUGAGUACCUGAGGUCAUUAACCCUAAUGACCUUUGGCAUUUAAUUAUUGUUUGGCAUCAAUGCUUAAUUAUUGUCAUUAAUACUUAAUUAAUAAUUAAUCAAGGUAAAAGGAAUUAAUAAUUAGUUAAUUAAGAAUAAUUAUGAAUUAAGAGAAAUCUUGAUUUACAGAUGCAACCUCUUGGGUAAAGAUACUAAGAUAUUAAACAACUUUAAUUGUUGUUUAGUCUGUAUUGCACCAAGAAGGCCAUUUGUACUUAACUCGGUCCUUCUUAAAUAUUUGUCAUAUGCAUAUCAUGAGCAUUCAUCAUUUUGCGUAUAGUGCAUGUGACCGAAGGAGCAACCGUUGAACCGAACCCCGAGGUCGGUGCUCCGUUCGAGGAAGUAGGAUCCGAGACUUGGGAAGUCUCCGAGGAACCCUCUCAGCUCUGCAACCAAGGCAAGCCCCGGAUGCAUUAACCCCUCCUUGAAUGUUUUUAAAUCUUUUAUCACUUAUGAAUUGAAAAUGCUGCAUUAGAUAGUUGAGAAUUGGGAUAACCUACUUGCUGCAUUUACUACCUUGAUUUUUGUUAUCUUGUCCUUUGCACUAGUUAUAUUUUAAAAUCGCGUAGUAAUGCUUAGCCCUGCUAUUAGAUAGGUUUCCAAAACAAGAAAGUUUGAAGGGUUGUUGUGGAAUACACUUAUGUUCAAUGAUGUUUCAACUUGAGACUGGUCGGUGGACUUGCUUUAAAAAUAGAGUCUUAAAGUAGUGUCUCCAACUGUGUCGGUUAAGGACCGGUCCGUUGAUGGCCUGCUGGGUUGAGAAUUUAUAGUACUAGCCACUUGCCCUCGGCAAGCCCAAUCUUGUGAUCCCUCGAUGCGAACAGCUACUCGCGCACUGGGCGUGGAGCGAUGGCGAGAGUAGUUUGUACCCACCUUACGGAUCUGAGAUGACCAGGAAACAUCUAGAUCGGCUAUAGGAUGGUGGAGUACUGUGCUCUCGGGUGCCGCGAACCUAGUCAAAUCUGGGGAGAGCUAGAUUUGGGUUGACAUAUGCAAGAUUUGGUUCUACAUAUGUCGGGUGGUUAGGAACUCCAGCUGGAUUGCUAAGCGAUUCGAAUCGUCGUUGCUCCCCGAUUGGGAGACUCAAUUCCUUCGACCCUCAUCGUAGAUAAUUAUGCAACUAAGUGAUAAAAUGAGAAAGGGGAAAAUGUCUCAUGAGGUUCGGAUCCCAAUUCCCAGACUCAGAGUGACAUGAAGCUAUGGCCGUUGAACAGAAAAUACUUUGAUUAAGGACUAAGAACUCACAGACCUGUCUGUGAGAAGCAACUAGAUAGACUGUCAUCGAACUCGUCGGCCUCUUAAGGAGAGGAAUUCGCGGGUAAAACUUGAAAGUAAGGAUGCACUAUUAGUAAGCUUUUUAGCAAAACCCUUUGGCUCCUUGCUCAGCCACCCCUUGACUACCCUAAGCCUGCAUUCCUACUUUCUCCUCUUUUUCCACCGGGUAAGUCUUGUUGACUACUUCUGUACUCAGGGUUUUAUAACCCCUGUUGCAGGUGAAGCUCAGGAGCCGACAUGUUUCGGACCCUAUUGUGUGACCGUCGUCGAGGUUGACGACGAGGAAGAGUGAGCGUGACCCAUGGGCAGGGUCUGUAAAUUUGUAAUCUGUGUACUGAAGUUUAAGCUGCUCCGCUGGACCUGGUUUGUAAUAACACUCUACUAUUUGGAAGAACUACUUUUGUAAAUUAAGUUAUGUAAUACUUCCGCUGUUUUACUCUAAAAUAUUAUUUUGGUCUUAUGUCGUUUGUGAUACUGCAAUGUCUUUGCAACGAGUGAUCCUGGUGUUAAGGUGGCCACUUGCUAUCCGGUAAGGGCGAGGAGAAGAAAUUUUCGUUAAUUGACCAUUGCUGGUGGUCAAGACGAGCUUGUUUGAUACGCCCCAGGUAGCGGUGGAACGAGCGUCCUAAGAUGCUCAUCGGACUUCUAGAGUGGGAGGAUCCCCGGCAUCACCGUCAGAGGUCCUUGGGACAAUGACAGGUGUCGGUGGGCCCAAACACUUAGGAGGUUUUGCCACACAUAAGCAAUAUAUUGAAGUAGAACAAAGUCAUAUUCAUAAUAUUGAAGAACAAAGAUAAUUAGAAGAGCAAUUAGGAGCACAAUUAGAGAAUUACCAAGAAUCCUCUUGACAGAUUCGGAAACCAAUCGAAGAUUGACUCCUUCUAGUUCUAAUCCUAUGUAGCUAUGCUAAUCUAGAUGUCUAAUUGAUGUGGUGGCUCUAAUCUUGAUCAGAUGCUUCUUCUCCCUUGAGAAUAAUGAAUUAGGGUUGAGAGGCUCUCUCCUCUAGGGGCCAGGGGGUCUGGUUUUAUAGUCCCUUCAAGUGAAUAUGGGCCGUUGGAUCAAACCGACAUUGAUUGAACGGUUAUCCUUGAUCCUUUAGGUCGGUGGAGAUCUUCCCCGAAACAGAGUCCUAAUUGGACUCAGAGAGGGGGCGGGCGCCCAGGGCAACUGGGUGGGCGCCCAGUCCCUGGCUUCGUUCGGGCUCCGCUUCCUUCCCGUGGCUUCUGGAGUCUUCUGGAUGUAAGAUAAUUACGCGGCAUGUUGAUAUCUCUAUGUAAUCCCGAUGUGUGGGCCUUUCUUCCGUAUUUCCUGAUAACCCCCUGCAGAAACAGACAAACACCAAAACUCGUGGAAUUCUGUCAGAUAAAACCCUAAGUCUAGAUGUUGAUUUCAUUUGGAUCCUUUUCUUUGUUUAUUUGAUAAUUAAAUUUGAUACUUAAGGACCGUCAACGGUGCAUACCUCCAGCUCUCUUGCGUGUCUGGGUCCUUUCUUCAUUCCAGCUUUGGUUGGAUGCCAUCUUCUCCACAAGAGUUGUGGCUUGUGAUAUAGUGAGUGAUAGGAAUGCUCCUCCAGCUGCAGCAUCCAUGGUCUCUCGGGCACUGUUGCCGAGCCCAUGAUAAAACGUUUGCAUCAGUAGCCAGCUCUCCAUUCCAUGAUGGGGACAUUCUAGGAUGUAGUCUUGGAAGCGCUCCCAUGCUUCCGCAACAGAUUCAUCAUGUUGUUGCUGAAAACUUGUAAUUUUCCCACAGAGAGCAUUGGUCUUGCCCAUGGGAAAGUACUUAGCCAGAAAGUUCGUGGAACAGAGUGCCCACGUAGUAUUCUUCUCCUUUGUAGCGUAGAAUCACUACUUCGCUCUUCCUAAUUGUGAAAAUGGAGAGAGGUGAAGUAGUAUAGCAUCUCUGGGGACUCCUAAUAUGGUGAACAUGCUGCAAAUCUUAGCAUCUUCGUGUGCCUUCCCACAGAACUGGUUGGAUUGCACCAUGUUGAUAAGUCCAGGCUUGAGCUCAAAGUUGCCAUCGAUCUCUGCGGCAGGUCCAGUACGGAUGUUGUCCGUAGUGGGAGCUGAGAACUCGCGGAUCGAUUUGUUCGCCAUGACUUCGAACUCUGAGGACAAGUUCCAGGUGAAACUUCGGUGACCUUCUUGAUUGGAUGAAGCUUCGUGCUGAAGUGUUGAUGAUCUCUUCUUGAGCUUGGCUCUUGUUUUUCUGAAUAAUGCUUCAGGAUUGUCAACAAAAUUUCCUAAAAGAUGUCUUCUAUUCAUACAUUACCCUGCAUAAAAUAAAAUAGAAAAUAAUAGGGUCAACCUUCCCCAGCAACGGCGCCAAAAAAGCUUGUUGGGCAUUCUUAACGUCACUACCAAAAGUAGACUUAGUUCUCUAAUUUUGAUAACGGCGCCACAAAUGCCAAAUAUAUCCCUCAUGCCACUUAAGCCAAGUUGUCAUCCCCAGCAUGACAUGAAAGACGCGGUAUUGAAAUAUGCAAUUGCUCUUCUAAAUAAAUAACAAAUAAGAUCUGCAAGCGCACAGAUUAAUACCGAUGUAGCAUUUUAACCGGGAAGUAUUCCAGGUAUCGUUAUUAUAUUUUACCACUAGGAAGGGAUUGCUAAACAUCAAUGUUGAUUAUAGAAUGGAAUAUAGAAUUGAGUAUCUAUCAUUGCAUGUAUAAUUGAGAACAUUUAUCUAUCUCUUUCAUACAGGGAUAAGUGUCACAUAGAGGAUAUAUAUAAAGUAAUGAAUGGUGACAAAGAUAAUUAAUCUGAUCAGUAUAACUUUGCCACAUAUAAAUAUGAUAAGCACCUCAAUUAGAUAUUCUAGCAAGUCAUUAGCAUGGAAUUAGGACGAACUACAAGAAUAUUUCCUAAGUUAUUCUCAACUAUACAGUCUAGCAUAUCAUAGUUAGUGCAAUUAUACUUAGCAAUCAUUGCAAGACAGGACUACGCCCAUGCAUAGUGAUAUUAUCAAGGAAUAUGAGAAACAUCACAAUCACUCCACUGUAAUAGUGUUGCUCUGCCAGCUCUAUACACGAGAGGGGGACUAUAUAAGAAUCAAUGGAGCUGUCACUACCACGAACUACCCCACGAUCUAGCAUAUAGAGUACAAUCGCAGAUAAAUACGGUAUAAGCACCACGCCUACACAAUAUCUAUCAUUUACCCAUGGAUCCGAUGGAUAAACGCUAUACGAUCCUAAACAUGUAUAUAAUUCCAAUUUAACUAAGCCAAGUAUAUAACUAUGAUAAACUAAGAACAAUAUAAUUGCGAAUAUAAACAAGUAGAGCAAAGUCAUAAUCAAUAUAUUGAAGUAGAACAAAAUCAUAUUCAUAAUAUCGAAGAACAAAGAUGAACAAGAGAGAAUUACCAAGAAUCCUCUUGACAGAUCCGGAAACCAAUCGAAGAUUGACUCCUUCUAGUUCUAAUCCUAUGUAGCUAUGCUAAUCUAGAGAUCUAAUUGAUGUGGUGGCUCUAGGGCUUGAUCAGAGGCUUCUUCUCCCAAGAUGAAUAAUGAAUUAGGGUUGAGAGGUGCUCUCCUCUAGGGGCCAGGGGUGGCCGUCGGAUCAAACCGACAUUAAUCGCACGGUUUUGCUUGAUCCUUUAGGUCGGUGGAGCAUGAUCCACGAAGUUGAAGCUGAUUGGUGGAGAGGCCAGGGCCGGCGCCCAAGGGGGGAGGGCGGACGUCCUGCCCCCGAGCCCGUUCGGUCUCCCGUUCGUUCCCGUGGCUUCUGAACUCUUCUAGAUGUAGGAUAAUUGCGCGGCACGUUAAUAUCUCUAUGUAAACCCGACGUGUGGGCCUUUCUUUCGUAUUUUCUCAUAACCCCCUGCAGAAAUAGACAAAACCAAACCUCGUGGAAUUCUGUCAGAUAAAACCCUAAGUCUGGAUGUCGGUUGCAUUUGGAUCCUUUUCUUUGUUUAUUUGAUAAUUAAAUUUGAUACUUAAGGACCGUCAAUAGGCGUUACCAAUUAUCAACACCGAGCUCCGGGUCGAGGUAAUGGAGACUCCGAGCCUUCCUUUUCGUUCUCUACCAUGCUCUUUUGCUCUCACAUCGGUGUCAAACGUUGCAGAGCUUCUCCAACCUGCCAUCGCGCGAUAGAGCUGGAGAUAAGAAAGAAGUUAUGCACAUCUACGACUCUCACAUGACUUGUGAGGAGUGUGGAGAUACUGGACACUCAGGCAAUCACUGCCCUAAGAUGCUUGAGGAUGUGAACUACAUCAACAACAACAACUACUACUACUACAACCGUCCUCAACAUAAUCACGGUUGGAAUCAACAGAGGCCUAACUACUCAGGUAAUUAUCAAGGUAACAAUUCUUACAACAAUAAUAAUAAUUUUCCACCUCUAAGAGAGUUAGUGUCUAAUCAAGGAAAGCUAAUGGAUAACCUAUCUAAGAAAUUGGCAUCUAAUGAUAAAAUGCUAGAAAAUAUAAAUAAUAGAAUGGAUAAUUUCUCUACUGUCAUCAAGAAUCAAAUUAGCUUUAAUAAAAUGAUUGAAUCUCAGUUAAAUCAAAUAGCUGUUGCUGUUCCUGCUACUAACCCCGGUAUACCAUCACAACCGGAAGGAUUAGAAUCUGCAAAUCUUGUAGACAUGUUUGAUGCAGGUAACUACUAGAGUAACCCCAUCACUGAAGUUACCACUAACCUUCUACCGGUCAAGAGAGGCGAUCCAAGACGCCCCGUCAUCACGAUCUCCAUCGGCAUGGUGGACUUACCAGAAGCACUCUGCGACUUUGGCUCUAGUGUCAACAUUAUGCCCAGGGUACUCUAUGAAAAAUUCUUUACAUAUCCUUUAUUAGAAACAACCAUGUGUUUGCAGCUUGCAGAUCAGACACUAAGUUUCCCAAAGGGAAUAUUGAAGAACCAUUGCAUCCGAGUUGGUACCUUGUACGCCCCAGCAGACUUCGUGGUGAUAGAGACCGGUAAUGAUGAGAGGGCACCCGUUAUCUUAUGGAGGCCAUUCUUGAACACCUCGGGAGCUGUCAUCUACGCUAGUGCUGCCAAGAUUAGUUUCUACAUCAAAGGGAGAAAGGAGACGUUUUCCUUCAAGAACAAGACUACAUAAAUCCUAGAGCAAUCCCGACAUGAACCAAGGAAGAGGACCAAUAGGAGGAACAGGAACAAGCAAGUGUGGACCGAGUCAGCUAAGAUGGUCACUGCAGUUCAACGAGGUCAAGAUCAUCGAGUUAAGUCACCGUUUCUGACCAAGAAGGACGACCUAGGAAUGCCAAGCAUUCAUUGCUCCAUUAAUGGGUACAACUUCUACAAGACACUUUGCGACACCGGAUCGGGCGUCAACAUAAUGGCCGCAGUCACCUAUCGGCUCUUGUUUAGAACCAUUCCCUUAAAACCAACAUAUAUUCAGCUCCAGAUGGCAGAUUAAACAUUCCGAAAGGCUGAAGGUAUAGUAACUGAUGUCCCUAUCAAAAUAGACGAUCAUUUUGUCCUUACAGACUUUCAGGUUAUUGACAUGGGAGAAGACGAGUACGAUCCACGCAUCAUCCUUGGGAGACCAUUCCUCAGCACCGUUAAAGCAAUUAUCUACAUUGGAACUGGAGAAGGCCAUAUUCACUUCCCCUCAGAGAAUGUACGCUGCUAUUUUACUGACCCUAACUAUAUAGUUGAAGACUCUAAGCAGGUCAGGACAAGAAGAAGACAACGCAACCGCAACAAGAGGAGGCAAAUCAUCAGGGAUGGAUGGGCAGACUACGAAGGAGAAGUUGUAAGGUCUCAAGACAUACAACUUGAACAGAAUUAUCUUGAGGAGACUAUAGCACCGAGUCAGGUGUGGAAAGAGAAGAUAACUAUAUACGAAGAUGAGGAGCCGUCGGAAGCACCGACUACGCCACCCAACGAAUCCCAGGACAACUAAGAAAACAGAGAGUCCCAUUCGGAGGACUUAAAGACACCAAACGCCUUGCCAAGAGGUAAACUUGGUAGUUAUCUUUUUUCCUUUCAAUUAUUUCAAAUAGUUUACUUAGUUAAUUAUGUUUGUACUAUCCUAAAAAGAAAAUAAAAAUGUUAAAAACAGUAAGCCCCAUGUUAGUAUACGAGUGGCAUAAAACCCAUAAGUACAUUCACUGUGGUGGCAUAAAAAUAAAAUAAAUAUUUUUCUACUCUAUAAAAAAUGAAAAUAUAAAGAGAGUAACAUUUAUUGAGGAGGCUCAACAUGAUAAAGGCUUGAUAUUUAUGCUAACACCUAAUCAGUUCCACAAAGCUUUGUUGUCUAUUUGAGCUCCACAAAAUUUAAGGAUCAAGAAGACUAGCAGACGGAGGACAUUCUAAUCGCUGUCAGGGUGUUGUCGACUUUCAAAUAUACCUCUGCCACUUGCUAGCUACAACAGAAGAAAUUACGUCAAAAUUCACCUUGGGGGAGAGCACCCCCAUUUAUCCCGCUAAGUAUUUCUAUCUAUCUACAUUUAUACUUAUACUUAUAUUAAAAUAUAAAUAUACAUAAACAUGAAAAACCAAAUAAAGAUUUUGUACUUAUAUAUAUAUAUCUUUUGCUUAGUGUGCUUAAUAAAUAAAUAAAUUGACUAUGCUAAACUGAAUCUUAAUAAUAAAACUCAAGCAUGGAUAUGAUGAAUAGUUGCUCUACCUAAUUUUCAAAUUUGAAGUUCUCUCAAGUUUAGACAUAACUGUUAUAAUUUAAAGCUUGCUCUAAACCUGAACUUGUGGGAAGAGAACUUGAUCUGAUGUCUAAGUUGUUAACGGAUAUGAUAUGGGAAGGUUGAGCUGCUGUUUAUCUGUUCCUAGAGAUGCUAGAAUUCUAGAGAAUUUUAUCUUUGAAAAUCUUUAAAAUAACACAUGAUGAGUUCCUAUAUGAUGAGAGUUUAAAUCCCUACCACAGCCAUAUAUAUACAUGCUUGCUAGACUUUGAGCCACACAUUUACUUUUUUAUUGCUUAUGAGCAUUGAGUGUGGUCAAGCUGUGUAGACCCUUAGGAGUUUGUCAUGUGGUUAAAUCAAGAUUCACUUGCACGUUCACUCACAUAUGCUGCUUCUACUCCGGAAGUACGCAUCCACAUAUAUCCACUCAUUUCCAUCUCCAGAACCACCCAAAAAAAUUCUACUCCUAAUCCGCGAGAGAAUAGCUAAAAAUAUUUCUGUUUUUCCCCUGUGAAAUAAAUGCUCAAGUUAUCUUGGUUACUACCACUUGUUAUAUUAUUUCAAGAGAUGAGUUCUUUAAAAAAAGAGAAGAAGAAAAAAAAGAGAUACGAGGAAAUAAAAAGGAGCAAGUGCCCGAAACCUCGAAAGAAAAGAAAAAAGUGAGACGAGAGGUAAAAAUGGACAAGUGUCCGACAGUAGAAUUAGGGGUACAAGAUACCCACCUGAGAGGAAAGAAAAAGAAAAAAAUAAAGCAUCUCAUUCUUCUCAAAAAGUUUCAAAAGAGCAAGAAAGGUAUGUAUCCCCUCAAAAGAGCACAAGUAGAAUUAGACUUUCACCAUUGUUAUCACCAUCAUCACCAUACACCAUUCGUUCGCCACGCAUGCACAUCUUGAUUUGACUUAUUGACUUGUUUCUCUGGAUCCAUGGUUUGACUAUGCAAUAAAUGUCUUGUAAGUAUGUAUACUUUAUCUCCCACCUAUGAGCUCUAGAUAUCAAAAGCCUUAUUAGAGUAGGGUGAGAGAGAAGGCAAUGUCACUAUGCCUCAUACCACAAAUACCACAAAUUUUGAGAGAGAAGGCAUAUACCAUCACUGCCUUGGUAAGGAUCCAGAAAUAACCCAAAAGAGAGAUCUGAGAGAGUCAUACAAGGAAUCUCUGAGUUUUAUUUGAAAAUCUUCAAAAACUCCAGAGCAUAGCUGAUCAAGAAUAAGAGACAUGGCACUUGAUUAGACCGUUCUAUCUUUUAACUGCUCAAGACAAAAGUGACGGUUACAAGUCCCAUGGUGAAAGGUAAAAUGAGUAAGUUUUAAGUCUUGACAGUUUACUCUAACUCAGAGAUGAGACCUCAUUUAAAAGCAUGUGUACCGUCAAUUUUUGAAAAGGCAUUACAGCAACUUCUGAUCUAUUACUGAGUUUAUCCUUCCUCAGUGUAAUACUCGAUUUUAAGGACAAAAUCAGAUACGCACCAUAUGUGAGUUUUAGAAGUCAAAUCCCACAUAUAGCUACAAAUAAAGGGUAAUAUCAAAAGACAAUGCAUAAAAUAUAUAACGUACGUAGAAUAAAAGAGAUAACCUUUAAUAGCAAACAGCGGAUAGACAACUCCAACUUCGGGUAUUAACUUCUCUCUACAGGAUCCAACUGACUGGUUGAUCACAAGCCUAAACUUCUCCUGAGGGUUGGGGAAAAUAGCAAGAGUGAGUCCAUGUCGAACUCCACAAGUAUAGCAACUAGAUUGUAUAGCUCUCACAAUCUCAUGAUCAAUGUGACCUAAAUAAUGUAGAGUAUUAAACAAUAAACAAUGAGCAUAUUUAACACAUAAGAUUCAUCACCCUUAAUUUAGAUGUCCCCAAGGCCACUCCUGACCGUGAGCUCGGCUAGUAUACCAGUUUUACACUCUACAGAGGUCGUACAUCUUUACCCAUGAGUCAUGAUUUACCCUUUCGCCCGAGGUGAUCAGCCUCUUAACCCACUUCCAAGGAAGGUCGACAGGGAUCACUAUGAAGCCUUUCAAAGGUUUCGUCUAACAAGUUAGGGCCAUUAGAUUCACCCGGCAGGCAGAUAUAGAGCCCCCCUUCCAUGGCACAUAACCCGUAGCCUAUACACACGG
This 44642-nucleotide long non-coding RNA is filed under the name Sorghum bicolor (sorghum). RNAcentral's name for it is "long non-coding RNA (SBIC_LNC010293)". The stretch from base 37589 to 37695 matches the Rfam family "Plant small nucleolar RNA R71". Lineage: Eukaryota; Viridiplantae; Streptophyta; Magnoliopsida; Poales; Poaceae. The record is from RNAcentral.